UUUUCAUUUCUUUCUUAUUUUGCAAGUAAUGUGUGUUUUUAUCAAGAAAUAAAGUACAAAGUAUCUUUAAAAAUGUGUCAUAAUUCUUGGCUUGAAUGUGUCCUAUUUGUUCUCACAUUAUAGCUCAAAAUCAAACCCCUUUAACAUUGCUAUGAUGAGAGGAGUAUAGGUCGUGUGCAUGUCUAAGUGUUAUAACCAAUUUUAGGUAUGUUUUGCCAUUUUAUUUCAUUUCAUUGCUCUUUUUUUUCUUGCUAUUCUAUUCAAUUUUGUUUACCUUUUUACCAUUUUUAUGCCUUAUGAUACUAACCAUUUCAUUUCAUAUUUCAUCCAUCUCAUAGUUUAGACAUUAUUUUUUUUCUAUUCAUUUCUAUAUCAAAUGGGUUUGUAAUAAUUUUAGGUAGAUUAGUUUCCUUUUAAUUCCUUGCAAGACCAUAGCAUGUAUUUAGGACUCAAUGUAAAGGACUAUGGACACUAUAAGUGAUGUACACCGACACGAGCACCGACACAUGCACACACCCCACAUGGAUGUUCUAGAUGCAUGAUUAGGGAAUGUAUGUUUAGAUGUAUGCUUAGGUUUUAGAACGCUUAGACAAAAUUUAUUUUCCAAAAAAAGUGUGAAUAACCUCACUUGAAAACUUUUUUUUCUAAAAUAGGAGUCAAAACUCCUCAUUUUCCUUUUGUUUUCUUAAGUAAAAAACCUAAUAAAUUUUAAUCAUACUUAGACUUUAUUUUGCAAAAUAACUACUUCCACCUCACAUUUUCCAAAUCUCAUGCCCUUGAGGCCUCUCAUUUCCAUUCUUCAAAAUUCCUUUUUCAAACUUAAAAUCAACCAACAAAAAACAAAAAUAAUUUUCGAGAAUGAACUACGUUUGGUUUUGAUCCCUUAAAAGGGUACGUAGGCAAUGAGUUAAAACUCCUCCAAGCCAAGUAAAAUAAAAUCUCAAUCAUCUUCUUUCCCCAUUCUUCACUCAAAUAAAACCUUUUUUUAAUAAGUAGGCAAUAAAAAAUAAAGCGUAGAAAUAAACUUAGGAGAACGGUUCUUAUGGAAUACCAUAAUCGUUCCGGGUGCCUAACACCUUCCCGUAGCGAAAACGACCCCCGAACUUAGACUCUAAGGGUUUUUUCUCAAUUUUGCCCUUCCCAAGAAAAAAUAGAGAAUAUCAAAGAUUGAAAGGUUCAAGCCUAAUUAAUGACUUGACACCCGAAAAUCGCGAUAACACAAAUGAUUUCACAGGAUGAUUAAUGUUAUAGUGGGCAUGGAUCAAAAAGAAAAGUUGAUACUUCAUUACAUUGAUAGUUGGGAAAAUUGAAGUAUCAAGACUUGAAGAGAAAAAAAAAACGACAUCACAACAUAAUGAUAACAACACAAAACAGAAAGUUGCACAAUUUUUUUUAAAGAGAUCCCUCAAUAGAAACCACAUGACACAAAUUGCAAGCUUCAUUGGGUAUGACAGUAACAUAGACAGUCUAGUUGCUUCCAGCAACUGGUGCACCAAUCUUCAUCCUUACACCUUCAUAAACAUUGCGAGCUUCGUUGCGAGCUUCGUUGCGAGCUUCGACAAACCGCUUCCACUCCCCACCUAUCUAGCAUUGCUCGUAAGGAGUCGAGCCAAAGAUCAAAACACAGUCCCAACAAUUUCCACAAUCAUCCACCAUUUUCAUAGUUUUUGCAUCAUUGUCUUCCUUCAUACUUCAACAUCUCACAGACAAAAAAUUAAUCAUUAGAUUACGUUUUUAAUGAUAUUAACUUAAACAAAAACCACACAUAUAAACUUAUAUACCAAAAUCAUUUUGUUAACAUCAUGAUCAGUAAGCUUUUUCGUCACAUCAUACUCAGUCAAUUUUUUCACAAAAUCAACUUGCAAGUUGUUGAAGUCAUGGCGAUAGGAGAGAGCGGCUGCAAUGGGGGGAGAUCAUUAUUGAAUCCUGGCUGCACAAAGGUUUUGUCGAUCACAAAUUUCAUGGGAGAUAACAUAACAGCCCCCUAUUUAAAAAACAGAAAAAAAAAAUCAGUAAAUGAUGGACAACAAACAAAGAACAGACAUGAAAAUUUCUUCUAUCCAAACCAUUCUCUUCUCCAAUUCAGCCAUUACCUAUAUCCAAAACCUAUUUUGAAAACAAUCUUCUUGGUUCAAUGUCAAUAUAUGUCAGAGUUAUCGAUCAAAGGACCUAUCAUAUAAAUAAGAAGGAACUUGUUAUGAAGGUAUAAAAACUAAGUGUAAUUAACGAAAAGAUAUGCAGGAGCUACAGACCAGUAAGGCAAUGGUAAGACAACAAUGAGAGAGAGAGGAGCAGCGAUGGAGAGAAAAUAAAAAAGAAGAAAAGUGAUUCUGUAUUAGGUGUGAAACAGAAAAGUUAAACGUGAAUAAGGUGUAUGGGAAAACCAUUCUUCAUGUGUUGGAAACUGAAAAGAGAGGCUGAGUGGAGAGAUUUCUGUUUUCCAUACGGCAUAGAAUUAGGUGCAAAUAAAUGCAAUUCAUUGUAUCAGAAAUUUAUCAAAAUGGCACGUUGUAUAAUACUCUGAUUUUUGAAAUUCAUUUGGUGGAAUAUUGAAAGAAUUUUUUAGGGUUAAUACUAACGGCAAUUAAUGAACCAGUUUUAGAGGGAAAUUUUUAGGGUUAAGUGAUUGCUAACCUAAUAACAUUAAGGAGUAAGGGAUUGUGCAGCCCUAACUACCGUCUAUCAUGGGUCCUAGUGUCGGGCCUACACUUGGUUUCUACACCAUUCAUAUCUAGUGUCUAAAAGUUCAUUAUCUAUUGAUCACUUUUAUUAGUGUCUAAGCAUCAUCAAAUGAAUCACAACAUCAAUCCGUUUUUAUUAAAGCUAAAAUUUACAAUUGAUUGUAGCCCACAUAAUAUUAAAAGAAAUUCUAACAUCCUCCCUUUUGGGCAAAAUCAAUUGUGUAUUUUUUUAUUUGAAGAAAGCAUUUUCGAAAACGACUCUCGGACUAAUAACAAACUUUCUAACGUGACAACUAAAUGAUCUCAAGAUGCAACAUUUGAUUAAGACUCCACCCAACAAAAAAUUAAAUGAUAUCGAAUCAUGGCGGUAGUUAUAUCCUUAUUGAUACAACACCUUCCAUGCGGUAACAAAUACCACCAAUUUCGUCGACGAAUCAUUUGUGCAGAGUGUUGCAAGAAGUGAUGAUAUGUCAACGUGAUCAUCAACCAUACUAUCAUCGUCUUUGUUAGUCCUCAAUUUCUCUCCAAUGCCUCAAAGCCAGAGAAGUUAUCACGGAAAACCACAUUGUCUCAGCUCUAAAAUAGUGUUGAUUAUCGACAUAGUGAUUCUAUUAACACUGAGCUAUAGUUUUCAUAUGUAUAUUAUGUUUCAGCUCCAAAAUAGUAUUGAUCAUUAACAUAGUGAUCAUAUUAACACUGAACUCUAAUUUUCACACAUAAUAUAUCAGCUCUAGAAUAGUGUUGACAGCCAGCAUAUAGAUCAUGUCAACACCGAGCUCUCAUUUUUCACAUGUAAAGUCUCAGCUCGAAAAUAGUGUGAAUCACUUGACCAAUAAUUGUAAAUGAUAGAUAAACAAAAAUGAAAAAGUUAUAUGAACAAUAAUGACAAUUUUAGUAUUAUGAUUAAAUUUUAAAUUGAUUUGGGUGUAAUCAAAUAUUUUUUGGGAGCUAAAAAAAAUCAACAUUCAAGAUUAUUUUGCAAAAGUGUAAUGUGAUGUGGUUAGUUAAUAUUAGAUUGAAAUGUGAUCAUUUUAGAAGUUUGUAAUUUUCAAUUGUUUUUUGUUAGAUGUAUGUAUGUGUAUAGAUCGAACCAUGGGAUUAUGGGAAUCUAAAUAUAAAAGUCAAACGUAUGUGACAAAAUCUCACUCUCAACCACCAAUGGAGAAACGCAAUUAUCGGUUGUCGUUAUUGUUUUGCUUUAGAAAUUGCUUUGUUUGGCCUCAAGCAUUAUGUUAUGUCCCGUGAAACAUUCUCAUUCUCAUUCUAAUACAUCAUAACAAAAAAUCAAAAUUAAUUACAUAUCAAACACCCAUUUACACAUAAUUACACAAGUGAACGACAACAAUCAAUAUGGCAAGUGCAAGGAGAUUGGGCAUAGCUAUGGAUUUCUCACCAUGCAGCAUUAAGGCUUUUCAAUGGACAGUGGAUAACAUUGUGAAAGAAGGUGAUAACCUCAUUCUUAUUAUCAUUCGCCCAGAAGAGUAUGAGCAUGGAGAAAUGCAGCUUUGGGAAGUUACUGGCUCACGUAAGUAAUUGCAAUCUUCUUGCUUUUACAAAUUAUUACACAAAGGAGAAAAGUAUUAUCAAUUAAAGUGGUAUAUAUUGUGAUUAUUUUACAAUUUUUCUUGGCAAAUUUUGAAUCAUGCUCUUUGAAAUUACAAUGUCAAAUUAUUCAUAUAAGUUGACACUCCAUAGACAUGCAUAUUCACGUAAAAAAAUGUGUUCCCUCAAUACUUAAAAUACAAAAAAUAUUCAUUUACAUAUGUGCUUUUUGUGCCCUUCUUUGUGCGUGUUUGGAUUGUUGAAGAAUUUGACAAAAUCACAUUGUGUCAUCUCAAUUUUGACAAACACUAGGUGUCAUUAUGUUUUUGUUAAACUCAACGUGAUUUUAAAUAGGAAAAAUCAUCUUUGGACAUUCAAAUACUCCAUUUAUACAUUGAAUGAGAAAUAAAUAGAUAGAGCGAUUUGAUAGAUAUGAUAUAUUAGUGAUGUGAUAAAAUAAAGGGAUAAAAUGAAAAUGAGGUAGAGGUAACCGACGAAUUUAUCAAAUGACUUUUGAUUGGUUUAUAUAAGCAUUUUUCAAUAAACUAUUCAUUUUAAUUUGAUGGCUUGUAAAAACUAUUUUCAAUAUGACAUAAAAUAUUCAUUCGCAGCUUCUGACCAUGAAAUGUGCUCCUCCUCCAGCUUUCGUAUUCGAUUCUCCCCAAUACCAAUUUAAGCGGACUAGAUUACCUUUUUAAAAAAUAAAAUAAAAAACUACAAUUCUAUUUAUUUGGAUUUGAAUUUGAUGUUCAUCAUGCAGCUCUCACGCCUCUGGGUGAGUUCAUUAACUCCGAUCUCCCAAAGAAAUAUGAAAUCAAAACCGAUCCUGAAGUACUUAAAAUUGCUACAACCGCCAUAGAGCAAAAAAAGGUAAGAUUUAAAUUUGAUCAUGUAGUUAUAGAUCAUGUUUUAUUCAUAUAUUAUUAAUGUAGGUUUUAUUUUAGUAACUUUGAGAUUUUGUGUGGCAUAGGUUGUGGUACUAGUAAAGGUCUAUUGGGGAGAUGCUCGUGAGAAAUUAUGUGAAGCAAUUGAACAAGUACCUCUUGAUGGUCUUACCAUGGGGAAUAGAGGUCUUGGCACCCUUAGAAGGUAGAUAUACCACCUUAACCCGAAAUUGAGAGUUUCAUUUUUUUUAAUGAUAUUUCAUUGAAUAUUUUACUAUAUUGUUUUUUUUUUUUCUUUUGAUGGGAUCCGAUGCAUUAAUGUUGGUUUAAUGUUUUUUUUUUCUCAGGGCGAUAAUGGGCAGUGUCAGCAAUUACGUAGUGAAUAAUGCUUCUUGUCCCGUUACUGUGGUGAAGAGUUCAGGCCAACACCAUUAAUUAAUUUUUCUAUCUAAUUUGAUAUAGGAAUAAACAUGUACCUUGUUUGAUGUUUUUAGUGGUUUUCCAUAUAGUUUUUUUUCUUCUUUCUUUUCAGCCUGUUUAUGAAUUAACUUUAUAAGGAAAUAAAUGUAAGAAAAUAGUUUUAUUUGUACUACAAGUGUCCCUACUCCCUAGGGUACAUAUAUAAUGAAUUGUGUGAGUUCAUGAGACACUGCAUCUUUGACCGUAUAUAUCAGUAAAUAAGAAAUGAAAUCCUAGUGUGCAUUUACCUUAUCUUUGAACCAUUUCAAUGUAUUUCUCUCACUUUUUCUUUAAGGGUGUGUUUGGUUGUGAAGAGAAAUUGUGAAGAGAGAAAUAGGUGAGAGAGUAUGAAAGAGAGAAAUAUGUGAGAAAUAGAGUAGAUUUGAUAGAUUGUUUGGAAUAAGAGAAAGAUGAGAGAAAUAGAGAAGAGAGAUUUACAAUGAUUUAACAAAUUGACAAAAAAACCCUUACCUUAUAAAGUCAUCUUUAUAAAAAAAAUUGUCAAAAUGUUAAUUAAUUAUUUCAUUUUCUAGUGUUGCUAUUAUCAAAUUAGUUGAUUAAAUAGGAUAAAAAAAACAUCCUUAAAAAAAAAAUUAACAAAAUAGGGGAGUUUUUUUGUUUCAUUCGGAAAAGCAAAUGUAAAGAAAAAGUUAAAAAAUAAUGAAAAUUAAUUAUAGAAAAAGAGAAACUUGCGACUUGAGAGUAGUACCAAGCCUUAGUUGUUUUCCAUUUAAGCCAAAAUACACAAGAUCUUAAUUGGGGGUGUUUGCUGCAAAUUCAUUUGAAACAGAAAAAAAAAAAAUUAAAGCUUUGUACACGGUGAGAUGGUGGAACGCAUCUAAGAGACAACAUAUAACCAUGGCAGUACUGGAGAUAUGAAGAAACAAUAGUGAAUUGUGAUAAUAAUUAAUUAAUAAUAAAUAAUAAUAAUGGUAGAACAGAAAACAAAAAAAAUGAAGCUGGUUUCUCCCCCCUUUCUUCGCAUGUUAGCACAAAAACAAAAAGGCGGUGGACCCCAUAUUAAAGCAGUCUCUCUCCCCAAUUUCUUUCCAAACCAAACUGAAGAAGUUUGACAUCUCUCUCCAAUUCUUUCUCUCCAACUUCUCUCUCCCCUUUUUCACCUCAAACAAACACAGUGUAAGAAAACAACUUAUAUUUGAAUCUAGAGUGUUAAAGUAUACAAAUGGUUAAAUUUGUUGGAUUUCUGUGGGACCUUAAUCAUUAUUUCCAACAAGUGCAAUUUAGGAUUUGCAUCACGAAGGUCGUGAAUAUACCUGUGUUUUGUUUUAAUAGGUGGGUCAAAUUUUCAUGUUAUUGAAAAGCAGAAAUCAUGGAAGGAAUAGGUGAAAUUGUCCAAUUGGAUCAGUUUACUACUAGGACCGUUUUUAGCGAUUUACGGGUCUUAUGCAGAGUAUGAAAAAAGAACUCCUUAUAUAACAUUAUAAACUUUUUCCCUCAUAACCGAUGAAUGAAACAUACAUUAGUUAUGGCGGUUGACAUCCCAACUAUACUCCCUAAGUCACUAUUUGAAGCUCUAGGAUUAAUAUCAAGAAAUCUCUUUUGAACACCUUGGUGCUUUCAUUUCAUAUUGGAACCAUUAUCAUAACCUUGCUCCCUCACAUCAUCGACAUUAAGAUCAUGAGUCUUUAAAAUAUUUAGUAAUUCAUUAAUAAGUCCUAGCCCGAACGUAUCAUUAACUUUUAAAAAAAAAUCCUAAAAAGAACUCAUCAAUCUUUGUUGUAUUAUUUGACAUAUUCACACAACGAAUUAAAAGAGUCAUUUGUUCUUUGAUGACUCAAAUCAGGGGUACAAUCAAGAAUUAUCGAAAAGUAUUUUGCCUCUUUAAUGAUGUUGAUGAUUGUCUUUGUAACACUUUGUGACAAAAGAAAAAUAAAUUCAUUUUGAAUUUUAUGUCUAAGAUAAUGGUUAUGAGUUCAUGAUUCUGAACGCAUCUCACAAUCUUGUAUUAUCAAAUUAAAUUCCGCAAUCAUUUAAAUCAAUCCAAGAAAAUUACCAUUACUAUCUUGACUUAAUUUUUCUUUGGAUCCUUGAAAUGCAAGAUUAUUUAUUCUUAGCAAGACAUUUCAAAACUGGAAGUAUUCUAUGUAAAACUUGUCUCCAACGCUCUUUCUCUUUCACAAUUUCUUCUUGCAAGUGUUUAUCAAUUGCCUGAUUUUUAUCAAAUCUCAUUCUCAAUUCAUUCUAAGUAUUCAUGUAAGUCAUAUAUGUUCGACACCAUUUUCAUGUUGUUUGAGUCUUUGACUAAUGCUUCCAAUCAUUUAAACUCUCACUUGAUAGUAAACUAAAGUUAUUAGAAGUAGAAGAUUUAAACAAUGUACAACAAAAACAAUAUACUUUAUCAACAUAUUUGUAAUAAAUUAGUCAUUUUCGAUCACUAAUCUCACCAUUUGUUAAUUUUCUUGAAUAAUUCACACAUGAAAAAUGUCUAUAAUAAUUGUCAUUAGAAAAAUUAAGAUCUAUUUAUCUAGUAGACCCCUUUUUAACUAGAAUAUACCUCGAUAUGCCAGUAAAUUAAAUUACUUGAUUGGAUUUGAAAUGCCAAAAUUUAUAGUUUGUACAAAAAUUUCGUCUGAUAUGCGAUCAUAGUUUGGGAAAUCAAAAUAGAUCAAAAGUCUUGUAUUUGUUUCAUGGAUAAAAAUUUAUUCCGACGAACUUGAACUUGAUACUUGUUGCAUUUUUGUUUCAAGUUUUAGGAAAAUCAUGAUAAAAUACUUUUUACCCUCACAAAAUAACCAUAAAUAAUUAACCAUGGAAAUUUUAUGUUCCCAUAGAAUAAAAUAACCAUAAAUUCCCAAUCACAAAUCAUUUUAACAAAUUUAUUUUAUACUUAAAAUUAUAAAGUAUAAAAUAAAUGUGUUAAAAUAAAUUAGCAUAUCCAAUUGUAUUUCAUAAACUUUUUCAAAGUAUUUCACAAGUGAUUGUCUAAAUGUGUUAAGAGUCUAAGUGCAACAGAUAAAAUCAAAGUUACAAAGAUAAAGAGAGAGAGAAAGCAGACACAAAACAAUUAUAUUGGGUCCUCUUAGAAUCUAACAGCAGUCCAGUCUCCUUGCACUUUCAAGAGAUUUUCACUAUAAUCACUACUAAUUACAAAUGCUCAAUGACACAACCAAGAGACAUACAAUGCCCAAGCACACAAGCAAGGGACUUCAAAAUGCUCAAUCACAACUGAAAGAGACUUCUAAGUGUUCACAAAUAAAAGAGUUUUUUACACUUGUUAUAAAAUGACAAAUGUAAGCAAUUACACAACAUAACAAGACUCUUAAGACUUAGAAUUUUUAAGAUAUGAACUUAGUACGAAAUUCUUAAGUGUUCUAUGCACGUUUGAAUUUGACAGAGUUUUGUUUUUAUUCUUAAGUCUUCAACUCCUUAUAUAGGCAAAAAUUUGAGAGACGUUAGAGAGGUGUCAGCGCAUUAAGAGUCGUUGAGAAUCAUCAAAUCAAAGACGUUGGAAUGUUAUCUGAUAUGGUUAAUGUCAUUUUAAAAGACAUUCGAAAUCUAUUGCUGCAAAUGAAAUUAUUUGUUCGUUUAUUUUGUUCUUGAAUUUGGCUAAGUACGUGAUUCAGAAAAAGACAAAUUGUACUUCUUGAAAGUGACCCUUCUCAAAAGAAGACAAAGAUGACUUGGCUUCUUGGUCCCUCAGAGUCCGAAUGCCACAUAGUCAGGGUGACUCCAAAUCUGAGUGACUUUCUCUUCACUAGCUUCUGGGUGACUUCUUCUCUUCUGAUCUAACAUGUUGACUUCUGAUUUCCCUUUCUUCAGAUCUUCUACCAAGUCUUUUAACUUCUCUUGUGCUUCUAAUGCUCUUAUAUAUGUUCAUACCUUGUUAAUUUGUUUUUUUGAAGAGGCUAAAAUGAAAUUGCAUUACCACAUCAAAAAGGCCUUCCUAGCACAAGAUGUGGACCUUGUUAAAUUUUAAUCUAUGGUUAUGCACAUUUAAACAUAUAUUAGCAUAUUCAAUUGUUUUUUAAUACUUUGUUAUCAUCAACAAUUUUAGAGUUAUUGUACAAAUCCAAUUUUGUUUCAAUAUGGGAGAGUGCAACACAUAAUCCAUAUUCUAUUGCUUUUUGUUAGCUUUAUUUUCCCUCAUCUCUAGAUUUUUGGAAUUUGUUACAUAACUCCCCUAUAUAUGUAAGAAUUGGCAAUAGUCAAAUGAAUCAAGAAGUAUUUUUCUUAUUUUUUUUUUCUCUAUUCCUCUCAAAACUUUUGGAGCUUGAUUCUUGCAUGAAAAGAUGGGUGUGGCUAGGGUUUGAAGAGCUAGUGAAAAGAAAAUCAACGAACAUGCAAUGGAACAAGCUUUGUGCUCACUUCUAUAACAUAAAGGCUGAUUGAAAGUGUGUUUAGUAUCAAUAUCUAACAACUGCAUGACACUAACCUACAUGAUUAAAUUCAAUCAAUUUUAUCUUUUAAGUCAUUAUCAAUGUUCACAUAUUAUUAGUACCAAUGUUGUGCAUUAGUGUUUCAUAUCUAUUCGGUUCUUAAGAAAUUUACCAAUUGUAUGCAUCAAUAGUCCCGUGAUAAAGAAAUUCAUAUAUCAUCUCUAAUGUUUAAUUCAAAUGUCAAGAUUGUUAUAUUGAAUAUUUCCUUUUGUGUGUGAAUUUUUAGGUAAUGUUAUCAUUUGUAAUGUCUAGUUCAACCGUCAAUGUCAAAAUUGUUAUAUUGGAUAUUUUCUUUUGUGUGUGUGUUUUUAGGUGAUAUUUUUCACGAUGUCUAUAGACCCCAAAAAAAAAAUCCAUCUAUCUUAUUUUCAUUUUAUGUUUCCUCAUAUAUAUAUGGGGUCCUAUAUUUGGAUUAUUACUCGCAAACAAUGCUCCAGUGAAACUUGCAAUUUUAUUUAUCAUCAAUAGAGCUUAUGAGAUUGAGAAGACAUUAAUCACUAAAAAAAUCUAUUUUAAGAGUGAAAAAAAUAGAUGUAGUAUAGUUUCAACCGCUGACAAAUUAUUGUUAUCCCCUCAAAGAAUGCAUAAACAAUGGUUACUAUCCCUAAAUAGCAUCCUAUUUUCAAGAACAAUUCAUAUAACAUGUUUCACUCACAAGUUAAAUUAAAUCUCCUUACACAUAAUUCACCAUAACACAUUUUUUCUCUCUUCUAAUUAACUUCUCAAGUCCCAAACCUUCAAGGAACAACAUGAAGUUCAUCAACAACAAGAACAACAUUAACCUCAAAAUUUUCUACAUAAUCCUAAUAUGUUUUGCACUAGAAAAAUGCACGGCUCACAUAUUCCAUGACACAACAUUACACAUAGAAAAACAGCACACUUCAGGUCAUCAUCACAUGGAACAUCCUCCGACCCAUUCUAGUCAUCACACGGCGCAUCCUCCGACCCAUUCUUCAGAAGCAUCCUUCGACUCGCUCUUAAUUCCACAAGCGCAAGCACAAGCACCGUCGAAACCAGAACCAGGUCCAGAACAACAAGCAUUUGGCCAUUCAGCUUCCUUCAAAAAUGCAUUCUCCGACCUUCUCAAAGGGGAAAUAAGCAUAGACCCCAUGACAAUGCCUCAACACCCAUUUGAAUCAAUUAAACAAAGCACCCUAGGAAUUGAUCAAAUAUGUAUGCACACAGAUUACCCCGACAUUUGUCUCGCAACAAUUCAACCUCUUAUAAGUAUCAAUUUGAAUUUCGAAUUGAUUGAUGUCCUCGGAGCUGCAAUAAAAGUUUGUACUCUACAAGUAAAAUUGACAAUAUCAAAGGUGGCUGCACAUGCAGCUAAGAAUCCAGAGGUUGCUAGUGCAGUUGCUGAUUGUAAGGAACAAUACAAUAGUGCUUUGGACAAUCUUCAAAAAGCAGCGGAUGCUAUUGCAUCGCGCGAUCUUGGUACAAUUACAGUUAUGCUUAGUGCUGUUAUGGCUGAUGUUUCUACAUGUGAGAGUGCUUUUGAGGAUCUAAAAGCAUCACCUACUUCUACCAUGUCUAGUAACGAUGGUUUAGUUAGUAUUACUGUUAGCAAUUGUCUUUCCAUUGCUAAUUUGAUUCCCUAUUAAUAUGGUUAAUGUUUGUAAAUUAUAUGCACUAAAGUCAAGUUUUGGGCAUUGGGAUUUGGCUUGGAUUAUAUAGGAAAAAGUAUUAAUUAGUUGUUAAAGGGUAAAAACUCUUGAUCAAGAGUUAUUUGUCAAUGUAUAUGUAUUUGUUUGGAUUUUUGUUACUUUGUUUUGCUAAAUUAACCUAUGGUUUUUUAGUUUGUUGUAUUUAUUUCUAUACGGUAGUGGAUGGAAUGUAAUUUUGAUCUGCAUGAAUAUGAAUAUAUUAAUACAAAAUUGGAACUAAAUAUAUGUAAUGAUGUAGUAUAUGAUUGGUUUUGUGGUGGCUAAAAUUGAUUUUGACUUAAUUGAUUUUAGAUAAAAGUGAGUUGAUGGAAAUUAAUUCAUUUUUGGAUGCAAAAACAUAAAAAUGUUUUUUAGUAAUUCAUGUCGUUUGGAUAAUUUAAAUCGAAAUUUCUUUUAGAUGUAUAUUUAGAGGUGCCUAGAGCCCAAGCAUUGCGCAUAUCCUCUAAUGAGGAGAACUCAAAUUCAUAAAAUUCUCUCCCCAAUGAUACCAAUUUCCACUGUCCCGAGAUUUUCCACAGUUUCGAGAGUUUCAAAAAUAAAUACUCGGCAGUACACGGCUUAUCUCCCUUACUCAUAACAAGCCUGCCAUGUAAGAGCCGCUUACAUUCAUCAAUUCCCUUUUCAUAUUCUUCCUGUGUAAUCUUAAUAAUGAGAGAAUCAUAUUUGAUGAUUGGAACCAGUAGCUGCUCAUCAAUUGUCGUUACUGAGCCACUUAAAGCCUGCGCAAAAGUAACCUUCGGUUGUACUUGCACCGGUUUAGUUUGCUUCGUAAAAUCCUUAUCUGUGAAUGAUACAGUUGUGAUUGCAGGUGUGGAAGAAUUAUGCAACCAUAAGGCUGGUGAAAAGGCCGAUUGGGCUGAAAACUCUGCCUGCCAAGCGAAAGGCAUGACCACAGCUGGAACAGCGAAGAAAACUUAAUAACCAAGCUGGAGCGUUUAGAAAUUGGUAUCUUGGAUGAAGAAAUUGGAUCACGUGAUUCCCAAAAGCAAAGAACAAUUGGAUGGCAAUUUGCUUUAAAGAUUCGACGGCAAUAUGCUGGACGGUGCGCAUGCUAGGCAAUAUGCUUUAGAGAUUUAGAGAAUUAUUCAACAAUUAGUUAAACUAAUGAAGAGAUAAAGCGUAAUCAACUAAGUUCUCAUUAAAGAUUAAUCAUUUUUCCAACUGUAAUAACAUAAUAAGAUAACAACAUAACGAUUUUCAAUUACUGAUUACGACAAUGUAAUAUGAUAGGACAAAUUACACUUCAUCAUCGAUCUACAAUCACAACAUAACAUGAUAUCAUUCAAUCUGAAACAAAUUACAUGCAUUAUUAAUCAUAAUAAUGAAUUAAGCCUGGUCAUCGAUGCUUAACUCAUCUACAACAUUCCCAUGGUUAAAACCUUCAACAUCACUUGUUUUUCAAGUAAUCCCUUGUUGAUUCACCAAACCCUUUCUUGCAACAAUGACCGAAUUUAUAACCUCGUCAGUUGGAUGAAAAAUGGACAAAACUUCAAAACCUUUAAGAUCACAAGAAGGAUCAACAACAUGAUAAAGAAAAGCUUUAGCACCAUGUGCACUCCUUAGAACAAGAAUGGCACCAGGAGCCAUGUAUUUAGCCAAGUGAUUAAUCACUUUUGCUUUCUCCUUUUUGUCCAUACCAACCAAUGCAGCCAAAAACACAACAUUAAACUCUUUAAGUUCAUUUUUCACAUCAACAAUAUCACUAGUGUGAAAAAGCAUUCUUUUUGACAAGUCAUUGUCUUUUGAGAUUAAAUCAUAAGCUUUUGAAUUUGCCAAUGAAUCAAUGUCAAAGUUGUGGAAACAUGUUUUUGUUAGGUAAUAGGUUGCUAAUAUGAUUGAGGUUAGAGGAAGUGGGCCAGAGCCAAUAAAGGCAAGUUUUGAAGGAACUUGAGUGAUGUGUUUGGUGAACAUAGUGAAUUCUAAAUGUGUGAGUUUUAGGUAAUUUUUGUAGUAAGGGAAGAUUUUUAUGUGGUUUAGUGGGUUUUCAUUUGAUCCUAUGAGAGUUGAGUAAUGACUUUCAAGUAAUCCUUCAGCUUUUCCACAAAGGGUAAUUAGUUUAGCAAUUUUUUCUUUGAUUUCUUGGGACAAUUGAGUAAUAUCAAAUUCAUGACAUGGGGUGGUGCAUGUUGUUACUAGUUGGGUAAAUAAGUCAUUGACUUGGUUUGGGGGAUUAAGGCUUCCUAACCUAGAGAGUUUGUCGUAAAUUUUACAUACCUUUUCGAUUAUCACCUCUUGACGAUUGUCCAUUCUUGUAUUAAUAUAUGAUCUAAUCUGACUUUUAUGAUAGAUUUAUGUUGUUACGCACAAAGAAACCUAAUUUAUAACAACAAAAUAAAAAUGAUGAACUUGCACAACAAUUACUAUAUCCUCACCUUUGAAUUCAAGGUUUUUAACAUUCUUGAUUCAAUGUUAAUUUAUAAUAAGAAUGUAGGGCUAUUUUUUGUUUAGAGUUUCGAGGUUAGAGUUGAUAGGCCCUUCUACUAGUGGGUGCAAAUUGAUGUGAGAUAAAAAAAAAGGUUCUAUUUUAUUAAAAAAAAAAAAGUGAUCAAGUGUAUGUGACAAGUGCAACAUUAGAAGACAUAGAAAACUCUUGUUGCCAAAUGAAGAUUUGUAAUAGGACAAGAUAUAUGUAAAUAUUAAUAAUAGUGAUGCAUUCUAUGUUUAUAGUGAAGACAAUACUCCUUCCAAAAAAAAAAAAAAGUGAAGACAAUACUGAAAAUGAAAUGUGACAUUGUGCUAACAGUCAUAUGUGGUUUUUUCCAAGUUGUGCAUUCUAUCUACAUUUUCCAUUGGGGUAAGAGAUAUGGCAACAUUCUACAACGCUUUCCAUUGAUUUUAUGGAAAUCAUCUUAAUAAUUUAAGCAUGCUUUAUUAUUUUUAAUCUUUUUAAUCUUCUAAACACCAUAGGUCAAUGUUCGAAUUCUGAACUUCUUAUUUAUUCGCUGCAAAAGGUGAAUUUCUAAACCCUAACCUAUUUCCAAAAAUAAAUAUCUCAUAUCGAUGACAUAAUUUAAAAAAUCCCUCAAAAAAAGAAAAAACAUAGUUUUGAAAAAAAAGAAAAAAGAGAAAUGGCAUAUAUUUCCUGUUAACAACAUUGAAUAAUCAAAUUGCAGCAUGUAGAUACUUUCUGUCCACAUCUCAUGGCAUCAGAAAACAAAGAAGAUAUUUACAUAAGAUAGAACAAAACAAUCAUCUCAAGGAACAGAACAUGCACCUUUGUUAAAUAUUAUUUUUAUCAUUCAAAAUUAAGAUCCAACACUAGCAAUAAGGUUCAACUACUUGAUGAUUAUUUUAUGCCUAUAGUAUGUCGACAUUUUGUUCCUAGAUGUCCAUUAUUGAUCAGUGUAGUGCACUAUGUGCUAUAUUGCAUAAACUGCAUUUUACAUGUAAUUAUCUCAAUAAAUUUACAUUAAUCUUUAUUGAUAUUUUAAAAGCAAACUAAGCAAACUAAUAAAGUUUGAUUUUUUAUUUUCAACCAUCUAGAAAGAUAAUAAUUAUACUUUAUCAAACGUAUGAUCAAUUGACUUCAUAUAUACAACUUUUGCUUGUCUUGAAUAUGAGUAUAGUUUGAUGAACUUGUAACAAAUCUUGGAUCGAAGGAUAAAAAUUGACAUUCAUAGAAGAGAUAGAGAUCGUAUGAUACUUCGGAGAUAAUAUAUAUAUAUAUAUAUAUAUUUUUUGAAGAAGUACUCCGGAGAUGAUUUUACAUUAAUUUAUUAAAAAAUGAUUAAAUGAAUUAGACAGUACUAUUCAUAAAGCUAUUUAGCUAAACAUAUGUAACCAAAUGUUCAGGAUCCACCACCCUCAAUAUAAUAUCAAAAUAAUCAUAUAUGAACCAUAAUUUUUCAUGUUUGUCAUAAAUUUAGUAUUUAGAAUAGGAAUUUUAAUAGGUACUACAUUUAUGGAAAUAAUAAUCAUUAAGAUAAAUGAAAAAACAGUUGAAAAAAGUAAAAUAAAAAAAAGAAUGUGUGGCUGCUGGGAUUCGAGCCCAGGUCUCCACGGCCACAACGUGGAAUUCUCACCACUAAACUACAGCCACAUUUGUGAUAGCUUGCGCUUUUGUAUCUUAUUUAAUCAAGUAAUAUAAAUAUCAAAUUUGUAAAUUUGGGACCCACAGACCAAUACGUUUUGAGUUUUGAGCUACUUGAACUUUUUUCAAUCUGAAAAACAACGUGAACUCCCAUGUUUUUAAUAUCUACAUCCAAUCAAUUAUCUCUAUUUUUAAACAGACUCUCAUUUCUUCUUUCAUUCAACAUAUUAGAUUAAGGGUUGAGAUUCAACAUCAUCAAAAUGACAAAAUUCAAAUAUUUUUAGGCCUCAAACUUAUUAUACUUUUGAUUCAACUAAUACUCUUAUAAUUUUAUUAAUUUUUUUUAGUGCUGGUAGUAUAAAUUUCCUUUACUAAUUUUAUUGAACUUACAUUUAUUGACUAGUUUUUUUUUUUGUGCGUUGUUAAUAAUGUAGUGCAAAUUUAAAGUAGUAAAACAGGUAUCGUAGACUAUAUAAGAGCAUACAUAUCGGGAAAAACUAAUCAAUAAUGUAAAUGUAUUAAUAUUUAUUUGUGAGUUGUUAAAUAUUGUAAAAGAUAAUAUUUAGGUUUAAAAGGCUUCUAAUUUUGUUAUUGGUUAAGUUUUAAAGGGUCUCAUUUCAAGUUUCGUUUUAGGCCUCUAGAUGGAUUGAACCAGAUCCGUUGAUAGGUAAAUUAUCCCAAUUAGCAUUUUCUUUUAAUUAAGGAUGGAAGAAAUGGAAAGACAAAAAAGUAGUGUAAUGAAACCAAAACAAAGAUAGUAGUAAAAUAGGGUGGAGAUCCUCUCCAUUUAUAGAGAAAAUGUCAGGAAAAUUAUUGAGUGGCUUCUCGGUUACCAAUGUUACUUUAUCAAAGUGUGUUAAAUACUUGAGAUAUAAACUAUGUUUGUUGCUUUGUUUAAAUAAUUGAGAAAUGUGAAAUAACAUAAAAUAUUAUAGAGUCUGCUGUUAAGGAGUGCCUUAGAACGGAUGCAGUUAUCAUGCAUAAGGAAUCCUUAUGCACCCGGCAUAAAUUUCAGUCCAUUAACCAUUUUGCAGUGGAAAUGGUUUCUGUGAGUUGGACUCCAAAACCAUUUUGCUGUGGAAAUGGUUUCUGUGAGUUGUAUUUCAAAACCAUUAGAUGUACUUAAUGGUUUUCUGUCUUCUCACUUGCGAUUAUGUUUUCAAUUUGCUUUCUUCGACCCGAUCUAUGAAUAAUUCGUUUUCUUGUUACAUUCUUUUCAGUUUUUUUUUUUUUUUGCGAUUGCGAUUUCGAGUCUGUUUCAAUCGCAAUUUUGUCCUUGCAAUUUUCCCCAAUUCUUAGGGUUUAUGAUUCGGUUUUGAUAACAUCAUUCGCAGUUAUGUUCCAAAUUCCUCUUUGAUUUCAUAAUUGACGGUUUUAUGUAGUUUCUUCGAUCUCUGUUUUCGAUUUGUUUCAUCGUAACUCGUUUUCGUUUGUCCUUGCGAGACGGAUUAUCCAAUAUGAUAUUCUUGAUCGAUUUCUUGGUUGUGACUGAAAUCGUAAUUGUGAAUAUGAUCUGAAAGAUAUUCAAUGCAUCUGUUCAUUUCAUCUGUGCUUUUUCUCUCACAAAUUUUGAUGACGAAUGACUGCUUACAACAUAUCCCAAAUCAGAUGGUUGUGAAGUGUUUAUGUAGGGUGCAUAAUGAAAUGACUUAUGCAUAAUAACUUUGCCCCUCGGGACACUCUUUAAGGAUCUCAAAUUUAUAAAAUAAUCAUUAAAAAAGUUAAGUGUUACAAAUUCUAAUACAUUGAUUACUCAGUUUUUUUUUUUUAUAAAAACUUACUAUUAAUGGUUCUUAAAGAGUACCCCUGAAACACUCGUUGAUAUUUUCCAAUAUUAUAUAGGGUCCAUUUAUACCAAAAAAAAGAAAGAAGAGAAAACCCAAAUAUCACAAUACUAGGUCAUAUAAUAAGCACAUGCAACAUCCUUUUAACAAAUGUGUCUCUUAAGUUGAAACUAGUAAUUAUACUAAUAAGAACCAUGGAUUUGGACAACAAGAUACAAAAUGUAUCUUGCAUUUUACAAUAAUCAGAUGAAUUUCCAAACAGAAACAGAAUUAAUUGGUGUUCCUUUCCAUCCAACAAGAAGACAAUGACCAUUCAUAUCAAAUGUGCAAGCAUAUCCACAAGCAAAUCUUUUAGCCACUAAUUCAGCUUGAUACAAAGACUUCAUACUCAAUUCUGUUUCCACCAUUCCAAAUCUUGUGAAAAAUGCUCUCCACACAUCAAUCUUUACAUUCCUACUCUUUCUUUCAGCUCCUUCUUCAGCCACAAUAUUCCUAAUACCAUGACUAAAAUACAUUGACUCUAGUAUAAAUCUGUUCUUCUCAUCACCUUUCAUACAAGUCUCAAAACAAUCAAAAUAUGCACUAAAGUAAAAAAGUGCUUCAAUGAAACGGUUCACAAAAGAUUUGGAAUUGUGAUUAGCUUCAAUCUCGGCGACAACCAUUACUAUAGGAUUUAUGGUUCUAAUCACUCUCAUGAUUGUUUCGAGUUUGUCUGGUUGUUGAAUCUUGCUUCUAAGCGCAAAUUGAGAAUAAACCGCGACUGUUUCUUCCGAAUCUAUCUUGAAAAGUUCUUCUCUUAUAUGUAACAAAUCAGAUACAACAACUAUAUCGAACGAAAAAGGUAUGUUUAAACUUUGCGCGAAAUCCUUCAAUCUUUUACCAGUGUCCUCAACUAUAUGCUUUGAAGUGUCUGAGUUUCCGCUCUCAAUAGCUGUUAUCUUUAGAAGCUCGAGUGGACAUUCGUUUCUCGAUUGAAGUGCUUGCAUAAGGAUUGUCCAUUGACACCCUUUUCGAAUUUCGAGAUCAAUAACAUGAAUCUUCUUUGCAUCAUUUACAUUUUCCAAUAAAGCUUGUACACAAGUGAAUAUUGAAACUUGACUGAAUGGAAGAUCUUCGUAAAGCGCGAUCAUGGCCGGGUUUAGAUCCUUGCUAACCUCUUGAGGAUCAAAUAAAGAUUCCAUCUUUUGCAUAUUGUUGGAUGAAACAGAAAAUCGUCCUGUUUCUUUGUCGAUUCUUUGACAAAGAGCUUCAGCAAAAUAAUGAACCACACGCUUAACCGGGUUACCUGUCUUCGAAGAUAAAGACUCGAUUUGUGAUAACAAUUUUCUAGCGCGUUCAUAUUGUUGAUAUCCGACUUUCUCAGCACAAGCUAAGAGUGAUUCAGCAAGCGAAACAUUUUCUUUCUCUUCAUCAGAUAAACCGGAGAAAGAAAAACCAAAAGGGUGAUUAAGAAUCAAACCUGAUGCAGAUUUUGACGAAGACGAUGAUUGUAUGAACCUUGUUCCAGCCAUCUUCAUGAUCUCUAUAGUUGACAACAACUUUUUCUCAUUUUCAUUAUUUGUGACUAAACCAAAGUCAUUAACCGGAUGAAGGAUAUUUCCUUCAUCAUCAGGUAAUAGCCUCUUGAAUCCUUUGCCAUAAUUCUUCAAUAUGUCAACUGGUGCUAAAGGAGUUUGGUAGAAUGGUUGGUCCUUUUUUGUGUCACCAAAGUGAACCAUGUCAAAGUGUAGGUUAUCAAAAGUUUCAUAAUCUUGAUAUGAUUCUUGUUGUUGGUGAUGAAACUUUAGGAACUCAUUUUCUUGAUAUGAUGGAUCAUCUUGAAAGAAACCAAAAUUAGAGCAAAGAGACUCAAUUCCAUUAUAGUCUCCUAGAUCUUCUGCUACAGAAAAUUGUACAUUUUUCAUUUCAUUAUGCCCUUUGGUUUCCCAAAAUGUAUCAUUGGAUGAACUAAGUUUAUCCUCAACUAUAUUGAAACUGAAGUCACCCAAAUUGUAUAAGUUUUCCAUAACAAAAACAAUUUUUUUUUUAGUAUUAUUGGUUUAAAACUAAUUAUGUUCUUAUGUACUUCAUUCUAUAUAUAACAAUUAAUAAGAUUAUUAUUCUUAUUAGUAGUAGUCACUGUCAUUCUUUGUUUUAUUUUAAUAUAUAUGAACCUUCCUUUGUUGAUUAAGUGAAUUAAGGUAUAGUUUAUGCUUAGUUUAAUGUGAAAUACUAGUUCUAACAUUGAUGUACUCACCAUCAUGAUAAUGGGUAGAUAUGAUCAAGGUGGCAUAAGCCAGCAAAGAUGGCGUAAGUGAUGACAUUACCGGCUGAAUUUUAACAUUUUGAACUUGGUUUAAUUUGGGGUACAAAUUGUGUUAAAAGAGAUAAAACACAAAUAACUUAUUAAUGAGAUCACUCAUCUCAAGAUUAUUCUCACCCUAACACGUUUAACAACUGCAGUGUUUUAAUGAGAUACGAUGUAUUAAUGUUGGUAUGACCUUGAACUUAUUUUAUUUUAGGCUAAGGUUAUUAACCCCUCCCCAUUUUAUUAAGUGCAUUAAAGAUAUUAUAUAAUCCCUUAAAAAAAAUAUUAUAUAAUGUAAGAGUAUGUCUGAAAUGCUUACGACCUAUGAAGCCCCUUGAUACUUCAAAAAUGGAGAUUGAUACUCUAUGGAUACUCGCAAAUAUGCAUCCAAGAAGUAUCAUUUUUUUUUAAAAAAAUUUUUAAAAAAAUAUUGUAUGAGAUACUUAUAAGAUAUUUCACGAAUACACAAGUAUACUUCUAAAAUACUUCACUAUAUAUAUCUUAAAAAAAUGUGAGACAAGGUUGUGAAAAUUUAGUGAAGAUGUCAAUGAUGCAAUUCAAGGUGUGAAGUUGUCCCAUGAUGAACCAGACUUACGAUGUGUAUUUUUUUUUUUUUUUGUGGAUGAUGGUAAUGAGAUAAAAGUUUGGUCAACAUUAAAAAAAUUGUUGUGUUCUUUUAAUGACAUUUUUAUUGAUAUCCUAACAUAGCGAUAAAUUUCGAUUAUUUCAAGUCACACAAAAACUCUGUACAUUUUAUUUUGAUCACAAGUAUUAUUUUUUUGUAAAUUAUGAUCUUUAUAAUCUAUUAUUAAUAAACAAUAAUCAAUGAAUAGUUAUGUUAAGUAUUUUAUGUGCAUAUAAGUUUUAUUAUAAAAAGUUUGUUAACCCAAGUUAGCUGUAUCGUAUCCUAAAUUUAAAAAAAUUUAUAUAUCCGCAUAUCCGCAUUGUAAAACACUCAAACUAUCCAAGCUUUAUGGUUAACGACAAAUACUCACACAUCUUUGAUGCAGGUACUUUGUGGUCUUGGCAUAAUCACAACUCUUCAUACUUCUCCAAUUCAACUAUCAUUAAUCAUCAUCUCGUCAUGGAAGCUCGCAAUUGAAUGUGCUGGUGAACACAAGAAGGGUCGUUUGAAUUAUUUUGACCAUUUUAAAAUCACUCUCGUUUAACAUAGGUUCAGUUGAAUCAUAGUCUUCAAAAGCCUCACUAGGCAUUUCUUUUAAAAAAAAGGUUUGUUGCCACUACUAAAGGGUGUAUAUAAACGAGUUUGUAUUUGACUGAUACAAAGUUGAAAUUUGAAGAUUAAUUCUCUUCGUGACAAUAUUACAAUACAAUAAUAUGUCAAUUGAAGUGUUCAAUAAUAACUUUUAUCAAAAUCUUAUGAUUCACAACUUAGAGGAUAUAAAAUGAGCAAAUAUAACAAUCAUAUUUCAACGAUUCAAUGAACUUUCCUUUUUUCUAUAUCUCUCUAAGCUCACAAUCAUGGAUGUUAUGUAGAACUAUCUCAUGAUACCAUAAGUCAUAAGUCAAAUGAUAUUUGAUUGACUUUGGUUUUCUUCUCUUGAUUUGGUCUUCAACUUACAGUUUUUGACUCUCAGCUCUGCGCCAUGACUUCUUUAGUCUUGAUCCUUUUGAUCAGAGACCACAUAAUUAAUGGUUGGUCACUCAUGCUUCAUGGUCAUUGAUGAUAUUGGUCUUUAACCCUUUUUGGCCAUUGACAAUCAAACAUCAACACUUUCUUCAAUUUGAAUAGUUUUGUUUUAAUACUCUUGAAGAAACUAUCCGUUCAGGAUCUGCCCUUUGUGUUGAUAUCUUUCAAGUUUGGUGUUGUGAUUUGAGACAUCAAAGAUCUCCAAAAAUAAUUAUCAUGUUCACAUAACUCACACUCUCAGAGUUUUUCCUAAUUUAUUCUUUUUCCCGGUUUUUCCCGCUUCAUUUACUUUUUGUUAUUCCAAUUAUAUCCUUAAACACGUGCAACAUCCUUUAAAAAAAAUCUUAUAUCUUAAGUUGAAAAUAGUAAUGAUAAGAGUUAAAGGAACUCUUACCAAAUAUUACUUUUAAUACAUGAUAGAAAAACUCAAAUAAGAAGAACUAAACUACUUAUAGGACAAAAUUAUUAUCAGUUAAAGUGACAUUAAUAAUCAUUUUACAACCCGUCUUCGAAAGAUUUGAACCCUAUGCAGACACCAACUAACCACACAUGUAUUUGGACAACAAGAAACAAAAUUUCUCUUGCAUUUAACAAUAAUCAAAUGAAUUUCCAAACAGAAACAGAGUUAAUUGGUGUUCCUUUCCAUCCAACAAGAAGACAAUGACCAUUCAUAUCAAAUGUGCAAGAAAUUCCACAGGGAAAUCUUUUAGCCAUCAAUUCAGCUUGAUACAAAGACAUCAUGCUCAAUUCUGUUUCCACCAUUCCAAAUCUUGCGAAAAAUGCUCUCCACACAUCAAUCUUCACAUUUCUACUCUUUCUUUCAGCUCCUUCUUCAGCCACCAUAUUCCUAAUUCCAUGACCAAAAUACUUUGAUUCUAAAAUCAUUCUGUUCUCAUCAUCUUUCAUACAAUCCUCAAAACAAUCGAAAAAUGCACUGAAGUAAAAAAGUGCUUCGAUGAAACGGUUCACAAAUGAUUUAGAAUUGUGAUUAGCUUCAAUCUCGGCCACAACCAUUACUUUAGGGUUUAUGGUUCUAACUACUCUCAUGAUUGUUUCAAGUUGGUCUGAUUGUUGAAUCUUGCUUUGAAGCGCAAACUGAGAGUAAACCGCAACGGUUUCCUCAGAGUCUAUCUUGAAAAGAUCUUCUCUUAAAUGUAAUAAAUCAGAUACAAUAAUUGUAUCGAAUAAGAAAGGUAUGUUCAAAUAUCGCGCAAAAUCCUUCAAUCUUUUACCAGUGUCUUCAACUAUAUUCUUCAAAGUCUCUAUGUUUCCAGUCACAAUAGCUGUUAUCUUUAGAAGCUCAACGGGACAUUUGUUUCUCGAUUGAAGUGCUUGCAUUAGGAUUGUCCAUUGUAACCCUUUUCGGAUUUCGAGAUCAAUAACAUGAAUCUUCUUAGCAUUAGUUACAUUUUCUAUUAAAGUUUGUACACAUGUGAACAUGGAAAUUUUACAAAAUGGAAGAUCUUGAAAAAACGCGACAAGGGCUGGAUUUAGAUCCUUGGUUACCUCUUGAGGAUCAAAUAAAGGUCCCAUCUUUUUCAUAUUGUUUGUCGAAACAGAAACUCUUCCCGUUUCUUUGUCGAUUCUUUGUCGAAGAGCUUCGGCAAAAUAAUGAACCACGCGCUUAACUGGGUUACCUGUCUUCGAAGAUAAAGACUCAAUUUGUAAUAACAAUUUUCUAGCGCGUUCAUAUUGUUGAUAUCCAACUUUCUCAGCACAAGCUAAGAGUGAUUCAGCAAGUGAAACAUCUUCUUUCUCUUCAUCAGAUAAACCAGAGAAAGAAAAACCAAAAGGGUGAUCAAGAAUCAAACCUGAUGCAGAUUCCGACAAAGAUGAUGAUUGUAUGAACCUUGUUCCAGCUAUCUUCAUGAUAUCUUCAGUUGACAGCUUACUCUCAUUUUCAGGAUGAUGGAUUUUUCCUUCAUCAGGUGAUAACCUCUUAAAUCCUUUGCCAUAAUUCUUCAAUAUCUCAAUUGGUGGAGUUUGGUAGAAUUGUUGAUCUUUUUUUGUGUCACAAAGUGGAGGGUUUUUUGUUGGACAUUGUUGUUCAUCAAAUUGAACCAUGUCAAAGUGUAGAUUAUCAAAAGAUUCGUAAUCUUGAUAUGGUUGUUGAUGAUACUUUUGUUGAUCAGUGGAAAGAAGAAGCUCAUCUUCUUGUGAUGGAUCAUCUUGAAAGAAACCAAAAUUAGAGCAAAGAGACUCAAUUCCAUUGUAGUCUCCUAGAUCUUCUUCUACAGAAAAUUUAACAUUUUUCAUUUCACUAAGUUUGUUGGUUUCCCAAAAAAUAUCAUUGGAUGAACUAAGUUUAUCCUCAACUAUAUUGAAACUCAAGUCACCAAAAUUGCACAAGUUUUCCAUCACCAAUUGAAACUAAUUUUUUCUUUCAGUGUAAUUAGUUUCAAACUAAUUAUGUUCUUAAUUAUGAACCACAUUCUCUAUAUAUAACAAGAUUAUUAUUACUACUACUACUACUAUUAUUAUUAUUAUUAUUAUUAUUAUUAUUAUUAUUAUUAAUUAGUUGUCAUACUUUGUUUUUUCUUUUUAAUAUCUAUACAAACCUUUGUUGAUUAACUGAAUUAAAAUAUAGUUUGUGCUUAGUUUAAUGUGAAAUUGACUAGUUCUAACACUAAAUCCGUCUACUAGAGUUAACUAGGAUGUUUUUCUUUGCAAAGAUUUAACAUUGAUGUUGUCACCAUAACAAUAAUGAUUUGAUAUGAUCAAGGUGGCCAGGAUACAAAUGGCCAUUAAAAUUGAUAAUAAUUCAAAAACUAUAUCAUAUACGAAAAAUAAAAUAAAAGGUAUGAUUUAGACAAGUAUUCUUGUUUUUUGAAAUUGUCAAGUAGGCAUAAGCCAGCAAAGCGUAAGGGAUGACCGGAAACUAAAUAUGGCGUGUGACUUAUCUAUAAGAAUUACCUGAUUUAAGCCAUUUAGGGUUGGGUUAGUGGUUCGUUUGAGAUUUAGGAGUGUGUUUAUCUCAAGGUUUCGGGUUUGAUUCCCCUGAUGUCAAUUUUGGUGGGUAAGUCCAUACGGAAUCCCGCAAGUGGGCGGUGAGAUUGGUCCUCUCAGAUUAUUCGGUUUUUGGGUCGGAUACCGAGUUUUUAAAAAUAAAAAAAUAAAAAGAUUUCCGUAUUUUAAAAUUUGAACUUCAUUUUGUUUAGGGAAUUUUUUUUUUUUUUUUUAUAAGUUUAAGCAAAUGUUUUUUUAAAGAAGGUAAACUGACCCUCUCAAAUUGGCAUUAGAGAGAAUCGAGUUUAAGCAAAUGUUAUUAAUCCCUCCUCAUUUUAUUUUUGUUACCUCCCAAUCUAAUGCUAGUAACUUAAAAAAAAAAUAACAUAUAUACAAUACCAAUUUAAAACUAGUAACAUAAAACAACAAAAUAUCGGGGUACAUAAACCUAACUUAGUUAAACCACAUAAUCAACCCAACGGGUAUUCAGACAGUUUACGUAUAAUAAAAAAAAUGUAGACUAAAAUAAUCGAAGCAAACACACACCAUCCACUACUCAACAAACUCGCGUACAUGCAUAAAACCAAGCAGAGGUUUGAAAGGAAGAUGCUUUUUGGAUCCUCGGCGCACGAGUCUACAUUAGAAGGAAGAUGUUUUAUCAUUUUAUUGAUGUUGAUAUUUUCACAUCUCCAUAUCGUAUACAACAUCAUUUAAAACACAUCACAUCAUCAAUUUUUAGUAUAAAAAUAUGAUGGUGGGACCAAAACAGCCAAAACUUAAAAUAGGGGACCAAUUUUACAAAAUGAUGAGAAUAGAAUGACUAAAAUUGCAAUUAAAUCAACCAAAAAAUAUAGAGCCUUGCUAUAUGGUACGAGAGAAUCGGCGCACGAACUGCACGACGUGUUGAUCUACAUGUGAGAUUCUCUCUUAAUGGAUACUAGCUUAUAAUUUUUUCAAUAUAAAAGACAAAAGAAGAUAAAAUAAACACUUAACAGUGGAAACAUCCUUGAAUUGUGUACUCCGAUAUAUAUCCAUUUUUGACACAUCAUUGAAGAGGUAACUCAAAGCUAGAGUGAUAUAUAUGAAAAAGCACCGCUACAAGAAAAAGGUGCAUGUAAUUUCUCAAAUUCUUAUAAACAAACAUAUAUGUGAUACUAACAUGAAGUAAAAUGACAAUAAAAACACAAAUGACAAUAAAAAAAAAAGUCAUUCGUGCGUUUGCGACAAAAAUACGUUGUGCAGUUAAGCUUUUCCCAAAAAUAUAUUGUCUAUCAUUGCUUGAGUUUGUCGGUGUCAUUUCUACUAAGAUGUUGUACUCAAUUGCAUUUUCUUGCAUGAUGUCUGCGAAGGAAGAUAAUGCCACUUGAAAUCUAGAAAGGCGUCGUCAUUUGUUGAAAUUUAUAUAUAGUCAUCCUAAGAUAAUUAUUGUUGCCAGAAUUUCACUAACACUACUGCUAUACCAUGUCAUUAUCACAUCUAAAAAAAAUGUAAGAGGAAGAUGUAUGUUGGAUUGAAAAGUCAAAGAUCUAAAAUCUAAGGAUGGAAAAGAGGUUAAAUAAAAAAAAAAAAGUAUUGAAAACAGUCAUGGAGACAUGUGAAGCUAUAAUGGAGUUUGAUUAUGUAGAAGCAUAUCUUGAUUAUGUAGAAGCAUAUCUUGAUUCUCUAAGUUUGUUCAAAACUAUAUGUGCAAACUUUCCAAAAUCUUUGGAAUAUGUUGGAGGUAUUAUAUUGGGGCCAAUGAGGAGAAACUAGUAAGGGCUUAGAUUGACCGCAUUAUGCAUAUUGAAAAUACAACAACAAACAAGGUCGAUUAUGCCCACAAUAAGUAAAAAAAGUAUAAAGGGAUACUUGAGGUAAUAUAUGUAAAAAUUGAGCUCUAACUAAUAACUUAAUAAUUUUGUAGCAAAUCGAGAUACAAACCUCAUUUCAGUAGAGCAUGAUUUUAAUGAAACACAUAUUUAAAGGAUAUAUGUUGUAGUAAAAGUUGGUUGAAAAUAAUAUAUCAUGAGCACAUUGCAUUUGAUUGUGGAUGGGGCAAAUCGAGUAGAGAGUUGUGCUAUGGAUAAAUUCAAAUUUGGUUGCUUAAUUAGGACAACAUACAAAUUGAUAUAUGCGUGUAUAAUUCUUAAGAAUAUGUUGCACGAUAAAACCAUUCGUUUGUAUGAUAUUCACACUUAUUGAAAGAGGUUGCAUUUCAACGAUGUUUGUGUAUUUAAGGAAGAUCGUUCAUACUAUCCCUUCUUUCUAAAUUGGAGGAGAUUCAAGUCCGUAUAUACUUUGUCUCUCUUUAUAUACAAGUCAAACUUGACUAAACAUAUUUGGAUUGUAUAACUAUAGAUUGGUUGCUGAUUUUAGGUUGUCAAAGAUAUUUUUUGAGCUCAUUCGAAUUCAUUAGUUAUAAUGAUGAUGCCUGAGACCAUUAACCUGUAUCUUUGCAUAGAAUGAUUAGUUAUAAUAAACUCAAUCAUGCUCAAGGUGAUGUGAUAGUUGUAGAUGAUGAUAUAAUAGUUGAAGAUCUUGAGAAGGAUGAAGAUAAUAAGAAAGUUGAAGAUUAUAAGAAGGUUGUAGAUGUUGUAAAAAUUUAUGAUGAUAGUCUUGAGAGUGUCGAGGAUAAUAUUGUAGAGCUCGCAAAAUAUUAGUUCAAAUGUAUAUGAUAGGAAAACUAAACAUCAUCUUUUACAUAUACAAUGAUAUUUAGAUAUAAUUACCUAUGUUUUUCGUUGGUCAAUUCAUGCAUCUGUGAUGUUGUUUAUGUCUGAUGCGUUUGGAUUCACGAAUCUGAAACACCAAAAACACACUUCAGACCAUAAUCCGAACAAGGGUAAAAUGGAUAAAUGGUAGGACACAUGAGAAGAUGGGAGGGGGUGGCAAAAAGAAUUUCACGUGAAAGAGACACCACAUUUUAGCACAAAACCUUAAGACAUUGAGUUUAUGGGUUCUCUCAUUUAUAUGUUGUUCAACUUUCUUUUUUCCAAGCAAUGCAGCCUCACAUUAUGUUCCCCCUCAAGCGAAAGCUUCUUCAUGCCGUUGUCACUUGCACCAUUGGAACAUGCCAUUUGACCAUCAUUAUUGGAAAGACUUUCAGCACAAUGAGCCGGUCAAACCCUUCGUCGAACCAUCAACUCCAAUACCACUAUUGGGUCAUUGGGGAACUUGUGGGAUCAUUCAUAUUAAUUCAAGAGCAAUCAUAUUAGUGAGACAGGCAACACAUUUUAUCCAAAAACCUUAAAAAAAAUGAGUUUAUGUACCUCUCACUUAUAUAUCGUUUAACCUUCCUUUUUUUUCCUCCAAACAAUACGAGACUUAAUUUGGCUCACACCACAACACACAACACACACAUAUAUAUAUAUAUAUAAACACAUGCAAGUAUUACUUAUAAGGAAAAAUUGGAAAUAAUAAUGAUAUGAACUAAUUACGGAUAAAGAAAAAAUAUUAUUAACUAAAGUGACACUAAUCCACAUUUGACAAAUCGUUUUCAAGAGAUUUGCACCUUGUCCUUUAAAGUUAUAGAACAUGAAACAAAAUUUCUCUUGCAUUUACCAACGAUCAAAUGAAUUUCCAAACAGAAACAGAGUUAAUUGGUGUUCCUUUCCAUCCAACAAGAAGACAAUGACCAUUCAUAUCAAAUGUGCAAGAAUUUCCACAAGGAAAUCUUUUAGCCACCAAUUCAGCUUGAUACAAAGACUUCAUACUCAAUUUUGUUUCCACCAUUCCAAAUCUAGCGAAAAAUGCUCUCCACACAUCAAUCUUUACAUCUGUACUCUUUCUUUCAACUCCUUCAGCCAAAAUAUUCCUAAUACCAUAACUGAAGUACAGUGAUUCUAUAAUCAUUCUGUUCUUCUCAUCACCUUUCAUACAAUCUUCCAAACAAUCAAAAAGCGCACUAAAGUAAAAAAGUGCUUCAAUGAAACGGUUCACAAAAGAUUUAGAAUUGUGAUUAGCUUCAGUCUCGGCUACGACCAUUACUAUAGGAUUUAUAGUUCUAACAACUUUCAUGACUGUUUCAAGUUGGUCUGAUUGUUGAAUAUUGCUUCUUAGAGCAAAUUGAGAGUAAACCGCAACGGUUUCUUCAGAAUCUUUCUUGAAAAGAUCUUCUCUUAGAUGUGACAAGUUAGAUACAAUAAUUGUAUCGAACAAAAAAGGUAUGUUCAAACUUUGUGCAAAAUCCUCCAAUUUUUUGCCGGUGUCUUCAACUAUAAGCUUUGAAGUGUAUGUGUUUCCGGUGGCAAUAGCUGUUAUCUUUAGAAGUUCAAGUGGACAUUCUGUUCUCGAUUGAAGCGCUUGCAUUAGGAUUGUCCAAUGUAACCCUUUACGAAUUUCAAGAUCAAUAACAUGAAUCUUCUUUGCAUCUUUAAGGUUUUCUAUUAAAGCUUGUACACAUGUGAACAUUGAAACUUUAACAAAUGGAAGCUCUUCGAAAAAUGCAAUAAGGGUUGGAUUUAGAUCCUUGCUAACCUCUUCAGGAUCAAAUAAAGUUUCUAUCUUUUGCGUAUUGUUAGAUGAAACUCUACCUGUUUCUUUGUCGAUUCUUUGGAAAAGUGCUUCGGCAAAAUAAUGAACCACACGCUUAACAGGAUUACCUGUCUUCGAAGAUAAAGAGCUGAUAUGUGGUAAAAAAUUUCUAGCGCGUUGAAAUUGUUGAUAUCCAACUUUUUCAGCGCAAGCCAAAAGUGAUUCAGCAAGUGAAACAUCUUCUUUCUCUUCAUCGGAGAGACCGGAGAAAGAAAAACCAAAAGGGUGAUUAAGAAUCAAACCUGAUAUAGAUUCUGAGGAAGAUGAUGAUUGUAUGAACCUUGUUCCAGCUAUCUUCAUGAUAUCUCCAGUUGACAACUUACUCUCAUUUUGAUUAUCUGUGACUAAAUCAAAAUCAUUAACAGGAUGAAGGAUUUUUCCUUCAUCAGGUGAUAACCUCUUGAAUCCUUUGCCGUAAUUCUUCAAUAUCUCCACUGGUGUUAAAGGUGAUGGUUGGUAAUAUUGAUUGUCCUUUUUUCUGUCACAAAAUGGAAGAAUUCUUGUAGGACAUUGUUGUUCAUCAAAGUGAACCAUGUCAAUGUUGAAGUUAUCAAAAGCUUCAUAAUCUAGAUAUGGUUGGUGGUGAUACUUUUGUUGAUUAGUGGAAAGAAGAAGCUCUUCUUCUUGUGAUGGAUCAUCUUCAAAGAAACCAAAAUUAGAGCAAAGAGACUCAAUUCCAUUACAGUCUCCUAGAUCUUCUGCUACAGAAAAUUUAACAUUUUUCGUUGUAUCAAAACUGAACUCACCAAAUUCCCACAAGUUUUCCAUCAUAGAUUCAAACAAAUUUUUCUUUAGUAUUAUGAGUUUCAACUAGUAUUUUCUUUAUGCACUUCAUUUUCUAUUUAACAAGAUUAACAAGAUUAUGAUUAUUGUUAUAAGUCAUUAUCAUACUUUGCUUUAUUUUAAUAUUAAUGAACCUUUGUUGAUUAAGAAUUAAGGUAUAGUUUGUGCUUAGUUUAAUGUGAAAUUAACUAGCUGUAACCGUAAAUCCGUCCAGUAGAGUUAACAUUGAUGUUGUCAUCAUAUCAUGAUAAUGGGUCGAUAUGAUAAAGGUGGCUGGGAUACAAAAGGUCAUUAAAAUUGAUAAUAAACAAAAAACUACUCAUAUAAGAAAAAAAUAACAAGGUAUAUUCAGACAAAUAUUCUUUUUUUUUUUUUUUUUGAAAUUGUCAAGAGGGCACAUAAUCCAGCAAAGAUGGCGUUAGUGAUGACAGGAAAAUAAGAUGUUGAAUUCUAAAAUUUUGAACUUAUUUUUUGGUAACAAAAGGGAAAUAAAAAUAGAAAGAAAACAAAUCGAAGAAGAUACCCUAACUAGAGUCGAACAAAUUCAACGCCUAUGACAUUAGCUAAGAGAGAAUAGAUGACAUGUCUGGGAAGACUUCAUGGAAGACAAGAAAGUUACUGUUGCACAGUACACCCUCAAGUAAAGUGUGUUGCAAAAUAACACCCAAUCUCUUGAUAGCCCAUAACAAAUUUCUAAAAUUUGAACUUGAUUUUGUUUUAGGAAAAAGUUAUCAAGUGUUUCUCAUUUUAUAUUUGUCAUCUCCCAAAUUAAUGCAAAAUACCCCUAUCCCUUAAAAACCGAAAAAUUCAACUCAUGGUCAAAUCCUUCCCCACAUUCCUUUUAUAAUUGUACUCAGACUUAAAGGGUAUCUGCAAAAAGAAUCCACUGAAAUUUUUAUAUUUAAUAUUUGAGAAAUUAUACUUCCACAUACUCUUUUUGGACAAUAAAAGGCAAAAAUCAUCAAAUUACGAACCACAUCCAGUUGCAAAGGACCAUAAUAGACAGGUGUAGUUGAUAUCCUCAACGGCUCGAACGAGCUUCUACACCAUGGACCUUGGUCUUACGACUGUUGUGAAAAGGAAUCAUUUCAAUGUCCCAGUAGCUACAAAAGGGUUUGCUAGUUUCUACUUUGGGACACACCAUUAGAGCUAGGUCUCAUUACACUUCUUCAAUUACUACAACGUUUUUCAUAAGCUUGGAUGAUUUUAUACUGGUUGCAUUUUUCUGUUCUUUUGUAGUUUAAUUAUGUACAUGUUCAAUUGACUAUUUUUUUCACCUUCAGCCGAUUAUAGUUCAAGCUGAUUAUGCUGCUAGCCUGCUACCACCUAUUACUUAUCAGCUUGAAAGGGUAACAAAGAUUAUAGUGUCAUUUGAUCAUCUUUUAAUCAAUCGAUACAAUAUUAUCUUCAGAGUAUCAUAUGUUCGCUAUCUUUUCUAUGCAUAUGACAUUUUUCCCUUUGAUCCAUGGAUUUGUUACAAGUUUACCUAAUCUCAUUUCCAAGACAAGCAAAGGUUGCAUGGGUCAGUUGAAAUAACAUUGAGUGCUUAUGCCCUGCUUGCUUAAUCAGAUAAAAUAGAUUUAAUCCGCGAUAAAUGUACUCAAAAUGCAUCAAGUCUUUCAACAUAGACUCAACAGAUUCACUCUUAAAAAAUGACCAAGAAACACAUUGUAAUAAGAAUUGCAACAUAACAUUUAUUCCAUUUCAGAACGUGAAUAAGCAGUAAUAUCAAGCUUUGGAUUGUCCUGCUUUUACCAGAUCUUCGAGUGCCUUCAAAAUCUGUGGCUCUGUCAUGCCUUCCAGUUUGAUGCCUUUCUCAACACCCAAAUCUAGUAUUAAUAUUAAAUUAUACGAUGUUAGGAUAUAUCACAAAUAGAUAAACAAAAUCAUGCAAAUGAAAAGGAUGAGCUACAAGAUAUGAUCAGAAAUGUGAACCAUCUUUGAAGAGUAAGUAUACCAAAAUUUACAGUAUGUGACUUAAUUUUCUUUAUGCAUUCAAGGCCAUCCACAAUACACAAAAUAAUCUUAAGUAAAAAUUACAACCAAAUUGACAUUAUACACAACUUCUAAUUGGGUCAAGUUUUUUUAACCAACAGUUCUUCCAACUCCAAUUUACCCAUUCAUUAGUACUUGAAGGAUAUCAAACUCCUUGCAAUUCAUACAAACAAAUGUUUGUAGAUAAAAGUCAAAAUUGAUAUAAUAUCUAAAAUUAGUUUUGGACAGACUACUCAUACUAUAAUAUUCUCAUCUCUGAAGGCGUUGCCUAGUGAGUAGGGUUGGGACACCAAAAGAACACUAAACAUGAGAUCCAGAUACUAACAAAUUUAUCUCCCUCUAACAAAUUAACCACCAAAAGAACGCUAUGAGUUAUUGGCCUUUUAACAUUGAAAUGAAUUUAAGGGAACAAUGCUGAUUACCAUAUUUCAGUGUUCUUGUAAAAAAAACAUAUUUUCAGUAUUAAAGCAUUAUGUUAACUUCCUACAAAUCCCAGUUAAGGAACUAAGGAGAAUAUGGAAUGUGAAUGCAAAUCACAUGGUAUGAAAUGCAGAGUAAAAAUGAAAUAGGUUUAAGAUGGGUGAUACCAUAUCUUGCCCACAAUUGGGGUUCAACUCCACUGCAUUCACGGAUCAAUAUGGGCAGUUUUGGGUUCAAUGUCUUCAGUUCCUUAUAAUUCUUUUCAACAAAAGCCCUGAGAUAAGACAAAAUAGUAAGAGCUCAUUAAAGAUUCAAGUAUGUAUGAAAUUUAAUAAAAAGAUUUUUAAAAAUUAAUGCUAUGAAAUUUUAGGUCCAAAGAUAGGGAAAAAUAUAUAUAUAACCUUGCAGAUGAGCUUGCAGGUGAUGACUGGCACAUCAGAAGUCGAAGCUCUUUGAUGUUCUUUGAAAGUUGUCCUCUCCAUGCCAUUGCUUUCUGAAGCACAAAGUUAUAAUAUUUGUGAGACUUUACCUCAUCUUAUGGCAAGGAAAAAAUGAUAUAAAGAUCUAAAAUUAACUAUGCAAGCAAAACUACCACCGACAUCUAGUGGCAGUAACAGUAAAGCUCAGUCUCACUACCACUAGAUGCCGUUGGUAAAAAUCAGUCUCAGUUCCCACGAUUUACCCAUCAGUUUCGCAGUUAAGGAAUUGAUCACUUCUAUAGGUUCGGUGAGAUUGAAAGUGAAAAGGGACUACAAGUGCAAAGAUGAUAAGAGUACUUUACUUAGGACAUGCCCCUUUGAAUAUUGAUCUUAUUGACUUUUACAACUCAAAAAGUGUUUACUCUGGCGCUAUAGCAUAGCAGAACAUGAACAAAUUUCUAUUGUGUGUGAUAUGCUAUUUAGUACGAAGUGUUAUGAAGUAGUGGCUAUAACGGUGCUAUAGCACGUAACGGAAAUUGAAUGUAUUGCAAUUUUCCACGAUCCGCAAUUGACAACACUGAUUCAAACUCAAAAAAGAUUUUGCUGUGUGAAAAAGAUACACUCAAGAACAACCUUUUAGAAACCUAGUGGUUUUUGAAUGGGAUUUAAGAAAAUAACAAUAAAUUGAUACCUUCUCAUUUGCAUGGUGUCAUAGUUGUAAGCUAUAACUUCCUAAGAUUGAUUUUCUUUUUUACUUCUAGUUAAUGGCUUAUUGGUCCUUCAUCUUUCUGGAAAAAAUGUUGAAAUUUUCAUCGAAGACUUAGGGCCUGUUUGGAUUGGCUUAUUUUUGAGCUUAUGCAAAACAGCUUAUGGAAAAAAAAAAAGCUUUGAUGUAUUAUUUCAUAAGCUUGUCAAAGUUGUUUAUGAAAAAACAACUUAUGAAGAGAAAAUUAUUGUUAGUGAGAAAAAAGCUUAUUUAUUUGCAUAAGCUAUUAUUCAUAAGCUCAAAAACAAUUCAAUCCAAACAGGCCCUCAUUGUGUGGAAAUUUGGACCAAUUCACCCUAAUCCACCACCUUAUCAAUUUCAAAAUAACCCCACAAAUUGCAAAAUGUUAAUCGAACUUGUUCCUUUGUCUAGGGGCCGUUUGGAUUAGGCUUAAUUUGAAAAAUAAGCAAAACAGUUUACAAAAAUGCAAUUUUCAUUAAUGAGAACAUAUAAAUCUCUCUUAAUAUAAGAAGAGAAGAUGUUGUGGAAAUCCUAUUAAUGCCCCAGCCUGGUUAAUUGACAAAUCACCAAAGUAAGGGUAAAAUCUGUCUUUAACUUACUUUAUUCAACCAAAUUACCACAAUUAACUAAGAUGAUGUCAUGUAACUACAAAUAACUAAUAGUUUAGUUCAUUUGCUCUUCAUAAAGUCAUUCCCAUUUGAUGCCAACUAAAUAAAUCCGAUUUUGGUUGACACGGAAAACGAAAAAAGUUUUCUUUUGUACAAAAAAGAUAUAAUCUAAUGUCAGAUCUACAAUCAAUUGGAGGCAAAUUUUCAAUUUCAAAUUUCAAAUACUCUUAUAUUGUCAUUCACUACUCUUUCAUAAUUUAAUACUCUCUCAUUCUCUCAACUGUCUCUCCUCUCUCAUUCUCUCUUUGACAACAAGAAGAACACGGCAGGUAUAAGAAUUCAUUUUCCUAAUAUCAUUAAUUAUUUCAUUUGUUGUUGACCUUCAUAUCAUGUAUAUUUAACAAAAACAGUCCUAACACAAUUUUAAAAUUAUAUCAACAACAAAAAAGCAAAUAUACAAAAUAUAUUCAUUAGUUAUACAAAAAAGCAAAUAAGAGAAAGAAAUGAAUAUUAUUUGAGUCAUAUUACAAGAAAAUCUAAGUGAAAUUUUUGUUAAAUCAUAACAAGUAAUAACAGAAAGUGAAUAUUGAAAGUGAAAAAAAAAAAAAAAUCUUUUGAUUUGCAAAUAAAAUUUUUAUUCAUCUGUAAAAAAAAAAAAAAAAAUCUGUUCUAUCAAAGAUUCAUUGAAAAAACAGACUUUUUUAUCGGUAGCAUCGGAACUAAAAAAGAUUCAUCUACAAAAAAAAAUUUACAUCUCUAGAAAUAAAACAAAAUCACAUCCAAUUUCAAAUUUGUAUUGUUGUUGUUGCAUGUAAUGGAAACAAAAUAUGUAAAGAUCUGGACAACAUACAAGAUUGGGAUGAAAACACGUAAGCUCUUUCCCGGCGCGGUGGUUGCAAGCUCCGGCGUGGUGGUCACCGGCGAAGGUUGUCCGUUCCGGAUAUUUUUAAAUGGGUUUUGUAGAGAAGAUGGAGGGGACUCUUUUUAUGGUGAUGGAUUUUCAAAAAUGAAGAUGGUGGAGCAAUGUAACGACCGCCGGAGAAACUGAAGGAGGGAGGAGGAGGCGACGGCUAGGGUUUGUUUGAGAAUGAGAGAGUUUUCCAGAUUUCUUUGGUGAAGAGAGAGAAAAUUAACUUUGAAAUAAAUAUGGUGUGUGUGAAAUAAAGUUAAAUGACAAAAAAGAAAAUAAAAAGAAAAUUAUAAAAAAUACUCUAGGUUUGCACGAGAUAGGGUAAAGGGAUAUCGACUUUUUUUAUUGCAAAAUUAGUGUAACAUAAUAAAAAUAAAAAUAAAUAAAUUCUUUAAAAAAUAUAUAAAAAAUAAUAAUAAUAAUUUCUUUAUCAAAUAAUAAAAAAAUAGUAGUAGUUUAUUUAACCUCUAAAAAUAUAAUUUAAUAAAUGUUAUCUUACACACACACACAUAUAUAUAUAUAUAUAUAUAUAUAUAUAUAUAUAUCUAACGAUGUGUUUUUUUACAAGAUCUAAAGACGUGUUGUUACAUUAAUUAAUGAAUAUUAAAAAAAAAAAAUAUAUUCAUAAAAACAUAAGGUAAAUAUAUUUCAUUGUUACAUAAAAAUAACGGUAAAACAUGGAUCGUUUGAUACAUACAAUAUACCAAAGAGAGUAGUAGAAAAAGAGUGAUGUGUAUAGAUUUGAAGUGAUGCAGUAACAGACGAUGUAUAAAUAGUUUAAGAGAUCAGUUUUAAAAAAGAUUGACAAAAUAUAUCAUACAAGGGUCAACUCAUCACUUCAGAAUUUUAAAAUAAUUGUUGUAAACGAGACACGUUGUCACUUCGCAAAAAUUUUAAAAAAUUAUUAUAAAGACAUGCUGAUAUAAAUUUUAAAAUAAGUAUUGAACAUAUUUUGGUAGUGGUCGGAGUUUGAACCUCGGACCUUGGAUAUAUUAUGCAUUAUCCAAACCAACUGAGUUAAGCUCACAAGGACAUAUGUAACGCCCUAGUUGUUAUUAAUUAUUUUUAAUUUAUUUUAGAGUCUUUUGUAUGAUUUUAAUAUGAAUUAUGUUGAUUGGUGUUGAUUUUUGGUGUGCUAUAUUUUAUUAUAUGAUUUAUUAUGAUAAUUAUUAAAAUAAUGUGAGAAUUAAUAUUAUUUUGAAAAUUGGGGGAGUUAAUUAGAAUUUAAUUGAAUUUAGUGGGAAUAAGGUGUAAUUAAAGGGAGUUAUAGGGAGUUAAGAAAAUAGAAAGGAAGUUAAGUUAAGAGUUAGAAAGACAGAAAACUGUCUGUACGUACAAUUGAAACUUUGGGAGGAAAACAAAGAAAACCAAGCCAAGGGGGGGAGAACAAGAGCAAGAGGGGAUCGAUUUUGCUGUAGCUUUGUUUGUGCAAUUGAAUUCAGGUAAGGGUGAGACUAUCUCUCAAUGAUAAUGGUUAUAUAAUUCUGAUUUUGGUUUAGCAUAGUUCUAGUUGAAAUUGUGAAUUGGGGGUUAGGUUUUUGGAGUAUGAUUCUUGGAUUGAAAAGUGUAGAAACCAUGGCAAUUGUGUUAAGAAUCGAUGUUCAGACUGUAGAAUAAUCAUAGGUUAAGUUUCCUAUCAAAUUUGGGGUUUGGGUGGAUGAAAAAUUGGGUUUUUGGCUGGAAACUGGCAUGUUCCCGUAGAGAUGUCUGUCGCAACUCGCCACAGCGAGUAAACUUACUCGCCUCGCGAGCUGCACUUUGACAUACAUUCUCCAUUAUUCUGGAUUUAUUGAACCAUACAUGUUGUAUAAGUUGGAGUCAUAUGGAGAAUGUAUGCAUGGUCUAGUUGUAUGUAGAUAUACACGAGUGGGUCCAUUGCAUAUGCAUAAACAGCGGAGAUGACUCAUGUCCUGGAGCACUAGUUGUUCACAGCGGUGAGGGCUUCGGUCCUGAUGAAUGCUUUAACCAUUCAAAAGCGGUGAGGGCUUCGGUCAUGUUUGGUACCACAUGCAUAUAUGCAUUUAUUGAGGAGUCUUAGUGGUGUCGUCAUGUCAUGCAUGAGUCUUUAUUGUUGAUUGUGGUUGUUAUAUUGAUGAUGAUGAUGAUGUUGUUUGAUGGUUACAUAUUUAUACAUAUAUUAUGAUGGAUUGAUUUGAUGGUGAUGUAGUUGUUGCUUUGUAAAUUAUAUAAUUAUAAUUGCAAGAUGAUUUGAUGUUAUAGGGUGUUAGAUUUAAUUGAUGAAUUAUAUAUCUAUUAUUGAUGAAAUUAAGAUGAUUAAUGAUGUUGUUAAUGAUGUGGUAUAUUUGCAAAUGCAUUAUGUGGAAUUAUAUAUGAUGUUUAAGUUGUGUUGAUUAUCAUUUGAUAAUUUUUAUAUCUUGAGAUGUCUAUGUGCUACCUGUGAUGCUGUUGAGUCUUAACUAAGAUGUAAAUGUUGGUUUAAGUUGUCUAAGUUGUAAGUUGUCGUUCCAAAGUAUUGGAGUCUUAAAUGGUUGAUGUUGUCUAAGUUGUUGAAGUCGUAGUUGAAGCUGUUGUUGGUGACUGUUUAUGUUCAGGUGUUUUGUGAGAGGUGGUGUACUCUUACGUUGUCGUUUAUAAGAGGUGAUGUACUCUUACGUUGUUAUUCUUUAAGAGGUGGUGUAUUCUUAGGUUGUCGUAUUAUAAGAGGUGGUGUACUCUCACGUAGUUGUGUUGUCAGGUUGACGUUGUCAUUGAUGAAUCGUUGAAGUUGUUGAUAAAGACAAAACAUGAAAUAUUAAUGAUGAAUAUGUUGUUGCUUAUGUUAUUAUAAGAUGAUGAAUAUGUUGUUGCUUAUGUUAUUAUAAGAUUAUGAUUAUGUUGUUGUUUAUAUUAUUAUGAGAUGAUGAUUUAAUGAAGUACUAUACGAAGAAUUACUACUAUAAAUUGGUGAAGUUUAAGUUGUUAAAUACGGUUGAUGAUUUAUAUAUUAUUAUUAUUGAUUGUGAAUCUCACCCCUUCUGCUUGAAAAUGUUGCCCUUUGUAUGAGUAACUUGCAGGUAAUAAAGAUUAGUAGGAGUGGUGACUCAAGUGUCUUAGGGCUCUGAUACGUAACGGGAUGGGAAAUUGUUGCUAUGUUUAUCAUUCCUUUAUGUGUCAAUUUUGGAGCAUGUUGUUGAAGUUUUUAUUGUCGUUGAAUUAAUUCCGCUGCAAAGUUUUAAUUAUUACGUUGUUGAAAAUUGAAGAAUAAUUAUUUAAUUAUUCCAUUUGUGAUUUUUAAGAAAAGAAAUGUAACAUUCCGUUUAAGGUGUUUUACUCUGGUUAAUUUAUGAAAUUUUUAUGUUGGGAAAACGAGGUGUUACAACAUAAGUAUUGAACAUAUGAUUUGUCAUCACUGAUAUAUAUUAUAAAAUAAUUAUUAUACAUGAGACAAGAGAUACAUUGAUAUAUAUUAUUCUCCUUCCUUCAAAAAAACAUUAUUCUCUUUUUUUUUUUUUCAAACCAUAACGUAAGUGAAAAACUAACUUAAAAAAAUAAUAGAAUUAUACACAGCAUCUGUUAUCAUUGAGUACAAAUUCAAAAUAAUUAUAACACAAAGAGACAAGUUUUAGCCGAUAUGAAUUUUAAGAUAAUUAUUAACCACAUUAUAUAUAUAUAUAUAUAUAUAUAUAUAUAUAUAUAUAUAUAUAUAUAUUUAUUAUACAUGUUGUUAUUGUUAACUUAAAAAAAACUUUAAUAAUUAUUAUUAUGGCGAAAUUGUCACUGAUACAAAUCUACUAACAUCUAAAUCUUCUAACAAUAUCUAAAAAACGAAGUCCAGCAAAAUAAAUAAAUUAGUCUACAGUUAUAAGUGGAAAUUAGUUAUACAUGACCAUUAUUUGUAAUUAAUUUUUUUAAAAAAAAAUUAGAACAUAAUAAACAAGUUGUCGCUCAUAUAAAUUUCAAAAUAAUUAUUAACCAUGUGACAUGUCAUCACUUAUAUAUAUAUAUUUAAGAAAAUCACUUAUAUAUAUUAUAAAAUAUUUUUUGAGGGAUUAUAUUGUAAAAUAUUUAUUGUACACGAAAUAAGUUGUCAUUGUUAACUUUAAGAGUUUGGUGCUAUUUUAAAUGCUUGUAUAAAUUUACUUGUCUUAAAAUAAAUAUAAAAAAAUUGUCAAAGAAAUAAGAUAUAUAGAAAAUGGUUAAAUAUAUUUUUGGUUGAAUAUAUGUACGCAUCUUUCAUACGAUCUGUCUUAAAAACUGAGACAAAAUGUAUGGACGGAUUUUUUUAAAGACUGGAGAAGAAAAGUUUCAAAAAAAUUAAAAUAGGACAAAAAACAUAUUAAAAAAAACAUGCUUAAGUUUGAUAAGAUCUGAAUAAAAAAUAAGAUACAACGAUCCUUUUCUUAUUACAUUUUAAUUUAUUUAGAUUAGAUAUUAUUCUCAUUUAUCUAUCACACAAUUUGUUUUGGAGGGUUGGGAUCACAAGCACACUCGUUAUUAAAACACACAGGAGGCUGUUGUGUUGGACAAUCAAGUUCUUUGAUAAUUUGAGGCUUGUGACAAUCUUUAUCUAUCUUACAAUAUAGUAUCCAUGCUUCAGAUUCCAUGUACAUAUCUACAAGAAAAAGAAAAUACAUAGUAGUAUUAAACAUAAGAAAAUGUUUGUAUGCAACAUUUAAAGAAGAUGAAGGAAAAAUCUUUCAAAAUGAAACUUAAAAACAUAAAAUGGUGUACAAAAAAUUCAACAAGAACCUAUUGCAAUGACAAGAAAAAAUAAGAAUGCCAAUUUGAAGAGAGAAAUUCUUGUUGUGUCCAUCGUGAAAUGUAGAAUCUUCUCACACUUCCAGUUCUUGCUUAAAAAAUAUUAUGUUGAAUAUGUUCUUUAUAACAUGUAUUUAUAUGCAAAUGGUUGGGGAUCAUUUUUUACCAUUCAACAACUUUUGUAGAUGUAUGUGAUGCGAUAAAGUGGGUCAUCUCAAUUAUUCAAAUUUUCAUAAAAGUAUUAAUUUUUUCUUUCAACGGCAAAAUUUUAUUAAUAAUCUAAAUUUUUGCACAAAACAAACAGAGAUUGGUACAACGUUGUAUAUAGAUGGAACAUCUAAAAGAAAAUUCAUACACUUUAAACAUAAAAAAAACACCAUUGAAGUUAAAUUAAAAUGCAUUAAUUGUGUAAAAAAAGUGGAGAGUUUUUGUUUAAAAGAAAAUAAAUGUGGAUGAAAAUGGUCAAAUAUCUUUUAAAAAAAGAGAAAUGAUAUUCGUACAACCACUUUCUCUCAACUUUUUGACAACUUUCUCUCUCAUACUUACAUUAUCCUCUUAUUCUCACUCUUCCUUUUUCUCUCUCCAUUGUUUUUGACCAAUGAAAAGAGAGAAAAAAUAAGUUGUCACAAAAAUUGUCUCAUAUGGUUGUUCAAAUAACACUACUCUUAAAAAAAAUGUUCAAAUCCUUAUCCAUAUUCUUUGAGAAAAAUCUACUUUCUUGGUGUUUUUAUAAGACCAUAAAACAAAAAUCAUAGAUGUUAAUUUUUUUUUUCAUCAGAGCAUAGAUAUUAAAAAAAUUGUUAAAAUAAUAAAUUUUUUUUUUUUGGCUUUCACACCAGUUUUCGACCUAUCAAAGGUAGACGACUAAUUUAGCUCAUGCGUAGAGGCAUGCGCACUGGCCAAGCGUUGUUCUCAUCUUAAAUGUGUAUGAUUAGUGUUAAAUUAUUUGUUGUGUAUAAAUACAUUUAAUGUUCGAUAAAAAAAAAAUACAUUUAAUGUUGCUUUUUCAUAUUCUAAGACAAGAGGGGGAUACUUUUGACUUCAAUAGUAAAUGAGUUAACUUACUUCAAAUCAUGACAUUUACUCCAACAUUGACAAAAUACCAAAACAACAUUUAUUGUUUUGUUAUUUUGUGGUGAUAAUUGUUGACUACAAUAGAGAAGGAAAUUAAAGUAUACCAAUCAAUUAAUAUAAACCAUUAAUCAAUAUUGAAAUUGAAAUUGAAGGUCAUGAUUUUGAGUAAGUUAACACACUAACUUCGAGAGUAAAUGUGUUAACUUACUCUAAAUAGGGGUAUAUUUUGACUACGAGAGUAAGUGUGUUAACUUACUCACUCCAAAUAUCUUUACUCCAAUAUUGACAAAAUAACAGAACAUUUAUUGUUUUGUGGUAAUAAAUGUUGACUACAAUAUAGAAUAAAAAAUAAAUACUACCAUAUCAAUUAAUCUAAGUCAUUAAUCAAUAUUGAAAUUAAAGGUCAUGAUUUGGAGUAAAUUAACACACUUACUCUCAGAGUCAAAAUAUCCCCCUCAAAAGACAAAGAGGGAUGAUAUUUUGACCACAAAAAUAAGUGUGUUAACUUACUCCAAAUCAUGACAUUUACUCAAAUAUUGACAAAAUAACAAAACAUUUAUUGUUUUAUUAUUUCGUUAUGAUAAGUGUUGACUACAAUAGAGAAUGAAACUAAAGCAUAUCAUAUCAAUUAAUCUAAGUCAUUAAUCAAUAUUGAAAUUAAAUGUCAUGAUUUGGAGUAAGGUAACACAAUUGUCUCAUAUGUUAAUUUACUCCAAAUCAUAACCUUUACUCAAAUACUGACAAAAUUAUAAACAUUUAUUGUUUUGUUUUUUUUGUGGUAAUAAGUGUUGAUUACAUUUAAUGUUGCCUUUUCAUAUUCUUAGACAAAUUGAUAGUAAUAUUAUUAAGGAAUAAAUUUGAAAAAGAUCUUAUCUUAUAAUUAAAGACGAAGAGAAGAGACUAUCAUUAUUUUUUUCUUUCUUUCAUCAAACACUACUUUUUCUUGGUGGUGAUACAAACACUAUGUUUGACCGCAUAGAAGUAGAUUGCGUAUAAUGAAUAUAAUUGGUAAAUAAUAAACAAUUUUUAAAAUAUAUAAAUAACUUUUUUUUUUUGAGAAAAAAUAUAUAAAUGACAUAUUUAUUGAAUUUGAAAGAAAAAAAUAAGAUGAAUCUGUAGCUCUAAAUUUGGCCCUCUAUAAAUUUCUAGCCAUUGAUUCUAGAUGAAGUACAAAAGGAUAAAAUAAACAUCUUAACUACUCUAUAUAAAUUUUGCAACUUAAUAAAUUGAUUAAAAUAAAACAGAAAUUUUAUUCUUACAAAAGUAAAUAGAAAGUUUUGAUUUUGUCUAGAAGUCCUAGCUCAACUGGUAAAUGUCAAAAUUGCGUCAAAAUUGCAAGACUAAACGUCAUGAUCCAAAUUCGAACCUAAAACAUCACGGUUGUGUGAGUUUUAUUUCAGUGAUUUACCACUUCAUCUAAGACAAAAAAAAAAAAAAAGAGUUUUGAUUUUAUUAAAAAAGGACAAUAUUAGUUUUCAGAUAUCGUGUUACUCUAAAAAUUGUGACAAACCUUCCCUCAUUUUGUAUUUAGUGUCCAUGUCUCAUUUACCUCAUGUUUUCAUUUUUAUUUUACCAAACAACAACUUUGGUUUCUAAAUUGUGAGAAGUUUUCUUUUUAUAUUGUUGGGUAAACAUCUGAUUUUUAGGGAAAAGACCCCAGGUAAUCUGAAGUUCGGUUGAAAAGUAAGUAUAUUUUGAUCAAAAAUUGUUCCAUAUAGGAAUCAAAUUCAGGUUCUCAUGAACAAUUUGUCCUUUGAUAGAGUUCAUUAAUCAAUUGAUCUCAAUUACAUGGUUAUAAGAAGUUGUCUUUAUAGUAUCUAAAUAUAAUGAAAUUAAAAACACAAUAACAAUGUCUCUUUUGUUAAUAGAUUUAUGGACUAAACUGACCAACAAAAAACAUUUGCAAUGACUAAAUUGACUAAACAAAACAUAGAUCCGAGGACUAAAAAGCCAAUAAAAGAUACACUCAUGGAUGUAUCAACAAUUUUCAUGUACAAAGAUUAUAGUGGCAACGUAUCUCACAUUCAAGAACCAAAAACAACGGUUUACCCUUUUCAUUUUUCUCUAAACCAUUAUACAUUCUGGAUAAGUACUCUACGAUAAAACAUGCACAUACAGAAUCGAGAGAAAGAUUAGAAUGAUUUCACACACUCACACUCUAAGUAAAAAGAUUAGAAUGAUCAAACUCUUUAUUAUUGAAUGUGAGAGAUAUCAAUUACACUUUACAUGACUCUUAUUUAUAGGACUAUACACUAGUUAGUUAUUAACUAACUAAUCACUAACCAUCAUCAUAAUAGGGUUAACACUUUAACUAACUAAACUAACACAUACUAAUUAAUUAACAUUAAAAUAUGAAUUAUACUUCAACACACCCCCUUAAUUUGGAUUCUUCUAACAUCUUAAAUUGGAACAAGAAACAUUAUUCCUGGAUCCCACUGAUGGACUUGUAUCAUAACAUCGAUAUAAUAACUCCUUUACAAACAAUGAGUUUGAUCAACCAACUUUAUUGAAGCACUCUUUGUUUUCUAACUUCGUUGCUUCUAUCUAUUGUAGAAAACAAAACUUUCUACUCCAAACCUUGCUGUAUUUUUGAUACUUCAUAAUGUUCCGCAUUUGCACUUCAUAAUAUUCUCAAAUCAUUGAACAUUUCUUCAUUAGAAAGGUUUGUCAUGAUGUAUGCAAGUUGAUCCUUUGAUAUGCUAAAUAUACUUUAAUGUCUUCUCAACACUUUCACAAUCACCAAAUUUUUGAUCUUCAUUAACAUUCUAAACUUCAUUAACAUUCUGAACUUCCUAGAAUUUCCAUUAACUUUUUGUAAUGGUCAGAACUUAAUUUUUCUGAUGCAUUGCCAUGUUUACUCACAUAGAAAAUCUUGCAUUUCAAACUUAAUACUUCAUAUUGGUUGUUACUAACCAAGAAUGAUCUUUUAUUAAUGAAACAAGCAAUUUCGACACACUUUGAUAACUUGAAUAUGUCAUCAAUUUCAUGCAUAACAACAACACCUUCUUGUGCUAACUUAGUCAUUGUUUCCUCAUCUGACUCAACAAAUUCUUUCAUAGCUGAUCUUGUAAUCCACUUGAACGUCUUUAUCACACCAUCACCAUCAUCGCUUGAAAUAAUAUCACCCAUAUCAAUUCUUUAUGCAUAAUUCGAUCUAACUCUCUUGUUAGUGAUAAAAAAAGCCCCUCUUUCUUGGAUUUUUGAACCUUCUUUGCGCAAACAUCACAACCAAGACCGAAUUCACAAGUGAGUAACAACGAAACUUCUUAACAUGAAUUCUUCAUUUAGCAUUGCGACCCCAUCACAAUUCUUCAUGGAAUCGAAAAAUACUUAAAAUUAAACAUGAAUAAGAAUAAAAUUUGGAACCUUGUUCUUCAUAAUCGGUUUCUAAAACAAUUGCUUGAUUUUCAUUCUAUUUCCCCUCCAUCUCUAAGUUUCUCUCUUUCCACAUAUAUAUUUCUUCUUUAACUCUUCGUUGAGCUUUGUUUGAAACAACUCCUCUUUGAGAUUUCCACACCUUAUUUGCACUUUUGGUAGAAGAAAUCCAAUCUGAAUUCACCUUAUCCAUACUUUUAUGGACUAAGAACAGAGCCUUCUGAUGUCUCUCCUUUGAAUUCACUUCAUCCACACUCAUGGAUCUUGAAAAGAGUCUUUUUUUUAUUAUUAUUUUUUUUAAUAUUUUUUUUAAUCUCUUUCCAUGGAUUUCUCGCAGGAAGCCUUCUCUUCCUCUUUAUACGUCUUUGGAUCUUUUCUAGCAAUCUUUGCAAACCAAAGAUUUCUUGUAUCCUCAGUACACACUUUUCCCGAUUCUUAACUUAAGAAAACUCAUUUUCAAUAGACAUUAUUGACAAUACAUGUGUCAAUAACCAAGUGUUAAUUUCCCUUGCAUAAACCAUUACCACAAAGCCUUGUUGCUCCGUUGAUAAUGAAUUGCAAUCUCUUUACGAAAGAUAUGUUUGAAACCCCAUGGAUAAUGAACCAAAUGCUCUGAUGCCGCUGAUAGAACAUGCACAUAUAGAAUUGAGAGAAAGUUAAGAAUGAUCUCACAUACUCACACUUUAGAGAGAAAACUACAAAUGAAUGAUAAAUCUCUUUAUUAUUGAAUAUGAGAGAUAUUAGAGAUAAAAUUACAUUUACAUGACUUUUAUUUAUAAAACUAUAUACUAGUUAGUUAUUAACUAACUAACCACUAACCAUAACCAUAAUUGGGUUAACAUUUUAACUAACUAAAUUAAGCCAUACUAACUAAGUAACAUUAGAAUAUGAAUUAUACUCCAACGCUCUUUUCUAUUAUCUCUCAACUAUUGCACACAAGAGACCGUGUUUUGUAAAAGCGACCGGUUCAGUUCAUAUUAAAAUAGGUAGUGAACGACAUAUAUAGGGUUGAAGAUCUAUAUAGUCACAUAGUUGUAUGUUUUCCACAAAUGACUUUGAAUUAAAUUUAUGUGCUAGCUAGUAAGGUUAGAGCAUGAUCAUUCAUGUUAUUAUAAGAAAUGGUUAAAACAACGAUCCGAUUCACACAAAUAAACAAAAAAAAAAAAAACACAAUAUUUGAUAAUAAAGUUCAACCAAUUUUAUCUUGUCUCUCGAAAAAAAAAAAGGAAAAAAAUGACACUUUUUUUUACCGAAGCAAAGUUAAUUAUUAUCGUAAAUCAAACAAUGUUCAAUACAAGAAGGAUAAGAGUAAAAAAUACGGUGACUAAACCAACAUGUCGCCCUAGCUAAAGUAUGAACAACUAUGUUCGUUUGUCUCCUGACAAACUUCACCUCAACGUUGGAAUGUAAAGAUAACUGAUAAAUAAUACUGGAAACAAUAGCUUAUAAUUCCAAAUCACCAUGGCCCGAAGACGAUAGAGCUUCCACUAGAGUAGAAGAGUCGGACUCGAAGACAACCAUGUCCCAUCUGAUCGCAUCAGCUAAGUGAAGGGCCUCGAGUGGAAAAAAAAUGACAUUUGGUAUUCUAAAAAAACUAUUUACGACAGGCACACAUGCUCUCAGCUUACUCCUAGCCCAGCAACCACCUCAAUAGGUCUCUUGUUUUUCUUAAUCCUAUUAUCAGUAACGAUAACCUCUCUACUUGGCCGAUCGACGACCAUCAAUAUUUUUUGUUAUGCAGACUUCUUUGAGUCAUCUUUCCGACUUAACCAUGUGUAGCAUUAUUUUUUUGUCGGACUCUAUUUGCGAGUUUGGAUUGGAAUAGGGAGAUAACUUUGAAUCAAAGGAAGGAGGAAAGGGAAAUGAAAGAAAGGAUGAUCUCUUAACUUGAAUAUGAGGUAACAUCACAUCAAGAAGGAGGAACUAAAAAAUUGUAUCGAAUGAAGGUUUUAGAUGUUUAGAUAAACUCUUCAAAUCUAAUAUAUAUUGUUAUAGUACUCUCAAAAUUGAAAAUAUAUUAAUGAUAACAUUUAUUUAUCAUUCUCUGCAAAAAUACUCUAUCAAAACCUAUGAAAGAUUUCUCUAUUUUUUUUCACGCUCUUCUCUCCGCAAAGCUCUCUCUUCUCCUCUAAACUCGCAAACACAACCUAAACGAUUUGUUAUCAGUGAAAAAAAACAAGAAAACCUAUGAUCUUUGCAUGGCUCUACGGAGCCCAACGUCUCAAGCGUGAUAGGAUCACAAACAAACCAGAACUUUCAUUCAAAAUAUUUAAUGUGAAAUUAAUUCUCAAAUUCAAGAAUAUAAGAAUAAAUGAGAAUAUGUCUAAAUGUAAAUAAUUGAGUUUUUUUUUCUAAAUGAGAAUAUGUCUACUAUGUAAAUAAUUCACCAUUGUUUAUCAAUUAAAAUGAUUCUUUAUGAACUUUUUUAGUUGUUGCUAGCGUGUGCGUGUUUUUUCUUCCAACUUUUGCAUUAAUCGACCUUAUCAUCUUUGUACUCGAAUAUGAAGAUAUUUGGGGUUCAAACCUCCAAUAUGCAGUAGUGGAAAAAGAAAAGGAACAAAAUAUAAAAGGAUCGAAUGACUGUAAACGUAUAAGGGGGACGUGGCUAAUUUUUUUUGUCCUUUAUUAGUUAUAGAUAGAUGGAUACAUAUAUAGGCUCUGUUUUGAUAAAAAUAGCGGAUAACUGAUAAGCUAGCGGAUAAUUUUUAGUUGAUAAACUACCUGAAGUGUUUGGUAAAAAUAGCGGUUCAACUAACUGAUAAAUGUAAAAUGACAUAAAGAGUAUUCUUAAUUCAUAAUAAAAAUUAUAUCAUUAAUUUAAGUAUUUGUAAUUUUGUAAACUAAUUUUUCUUUAAAAAAAUACUUUAAAUUUAUUAAUUUAAUAUAUCAUAUGUAUUAUAAAUUAAAUUAAAUUGUAUUCACUAAGAUUUUAUCUUAUAUUUAUUAUCAUUUAAGUGUUUCCACUUUAUAAAGAAAAUAACAUUUACCUCAAAAACAAAAAAAAGGUAGCACUAAUAGAGUAAUACUAAUAACAAAGAAUAAAGAAAAUAACACUUACCUAAAAAAAAAAAAAGUAACAUUAAUAGAAUAAUAAUAUUUUGUUUCGUAAAAAAAAAACGAAGGUAUAUAUUUUUUCAAAAAAAGAAAAGAAAAAGGCCAGCUGAUAUAUAUACAAAAAUUGGAAUAAAGGGAUAGUAGUCUUUAUUACGUAGCUUAUUAUAAAAAUUAUAAUGGAUAAAAAUACAAUUUAAAUGAAAUAAUAAGGGUAAAAUUGGAAGAAAAAGUGAGAAGCUAUAAGCUAUAAGCUCAAACGCUACUUGGAAUAGCUUCUGAAAAAUAGCUUAUAAGCUCGUGAAAUAAGCUAUAAGCUCAUGGUGAAAAAGUGUUACCAAAACAGAGCUUUUUUUGUCAAACGAGCUUAUAAGCUAUAAGCUAAAAGCUAAAAGCUAUUUUUUGGGGUUUCCCAAACAGACCCAUACUAUACGUAUAAGUGAUUUGUACACUACACAGCGCUGAAUCUAGUUCGAGACAUUGUCACUCCACGCUGCUCAAACGUUGUCUAAACGGAAAAUAUUUGGGUAACAUUUAUGUUUAGUGGAAUUAGUGAUGUUGAAACGAAAUAGAUUUUGUAGGAUGUCUCUGCAUUUUUUAUGAAAAUAAAGUAUUAAAAGAACAAUUAGAUAUACUAAUGUAUGUUCAAGUGUGGGAGACCAUAAACUAAAAUUUAAAGUAUUAAAUCAAGUUUUGGUUCUAGAAGAACAUAUACAAGAGCAUUCAAAAUUUGAGAGAAGCUGAAUUUCUAGACCAAGAUCUAAAAGAUACAAGCAUAUGAAGAAGUCAGACUUUGAAGGUCUGGAGCAUCUGAAGACUGAAGACUCUGAAGGCUAUCAGACUUCAAAGAACACGUUAGAUUUGUCGUCUUAUGAAGAAGUCACUAUCAAAUUCAGAUAGUACACUUUGUCUUCUUCUAACCACGUGCAUAUACAAACAAAGAACUUUAACGACAAUUGAAAUAAAACGGGUAAUUCCUUUUGAAGCAAAUGAACUUUGAAUGACAUUUCAACGACAUUAACCAAAUCAAAAAAUAUUCCAACGUCUCUGAUUAAGCUUCUCAAGGACUCUAAAUUAUGCGCUGACACCUCUCCAAUGUCUCUAAGAUUCUUUAUUAUAUAAAGAGCUGGAUACGUGAAGAAAGGUAGAAUCUUUGAACAUUUUGAAAGUGUCCUUACUAUGUGAAAUCAAAGCGCAUAAAACAUUUAGAUUUUUUUACAAAAUUUCGUAUCUUAUAAAUUCUAAAGUCUUAGAGUUCAACUCUGUUUUUUAUUUGAUUAUGCCUCUAAUUGUAUAUCAAGUUUAAAUCUCAAACAAUCUUUUAUUUGAUUAAGUUGCACUGUAGAAGUCUCUUACUUUUGUGCUUGAGUAUUGAAAGUCUCUUUCUUGUGUGAUUGAAUUUAAAGUCUUUUGCUUUGUGUGCUUGAACAUUUGUAAUCUUUAGUGAUUAUAGUCAAAAUCCCUUGAAAGCGCGAGGGGAUUAGACUACUCUUGGUUUCAAGAAUUCAAACACAAUAUUUUAUGUGGUAUAUAUACAAUUCAUUAAUAGUUUAUGUGGUUUACGAAACACAUAAACUUUUAUAAACCGGUGUUUUGAUUUAUUUUCACUUUACACCACAUAAUAGUAAACACUUAUCUGGUCAAAAUAAACUUUAACCUAGUUGUAAUUUACUACAACACGAGGGAAACCUAAUCUAUUUAUGAUCAAUCUGGAUGUUGCACUGGCUGAUUUAAAGGAUCAACAGAACUUCGUGGAUGGUCGUCUCAACUACGACAACGUUGCAAACUCGGAGACAUGAGUAUUGCAGAGGUUUAAAUAUAAUCAUAUUUAUAGACAUAUUUUCUCUGUCAUUUUAUGUUAUUAAUUAACAUGGAUGUUGUGAACUUGUUCACAUAUUCAUCCUUCACGUUUAUAACGACUUUGAAUUUAUAUUAUAUCGAUGUAUUCUAUCAAUUUAAAUGAAUAAAUAUCGUUUAUUUUUGUCAAAAAAAAAAGUGAGUUCAAUUUCGGUUACGCUCUUUAAGCUUUAAAACUUGUCCUAAUCCUAAACCUAAUCCUAGGGAGGCCCUAAUCCAACUAUCCUAAACUUUCUAUUAUUGAAAAAAACAAAGAUAAGGAGUGGUGGAAGGAGAUAUUUGUCACACUCUUAUUACGUACGAUCUAAUGAGUAAGCCUUACCUUGUUCGAUACGAGUCCAAAUAGAAUCUCUGGCGUGUCCAAUUUUCUGAGUGUCUACAAAGCUAUACUAUGUUGGAAUCAAUAUAUUCCCAGAUAAAGUUAUCGUAAAUGAAUCAAGUAUGGACUUUAACCCCAACAUGCAUGAUUUGAAAAAUCACACAUAUAGUAAAGAUAUUUAAGAGAAUAUUUUCCAUUAAUAAAUGGUCAAUGCUAUCCUCUUAAGUUUUGGAUAAUUAUGCAUAGAUAUUAUUCUUCCUCCAUCUAUAAAACCAGGUCGUUAAUCCUGGUAAAUGGCAUCAAAGUGAGAACGACUCAAACAAAAACCACAUUUUCUUUCUUUAAAAAAAAAAACCACAUUUUCUUAUAGACAUGGCUGAUCAAUCCAAGAGUACUUUUUUUAUUGGUGUGCCAAAGAUCAAAAUUGGUGAUGGUGAAACACAAAAAACUACUCAUCCAAGAAUGCCACCAAGUUCCUUAAUUCCUUUACCGGGAAGGAAUCGAUAUAAUAGCUACUACAGCUCCAAUAGGAGUUGGAGGCAAAUGUUCAAUAAAUUAGGGCAGAACAACGGCAACUCGAACGGGGCGAAUGAACAAUCGACUUUGAAGACUUGAAAGCUCACUCAAAAGGAAGAGUAAAACUUUAGUCAUGAAUAAUUGAUGUUGCCUUAAAUAUAGUUUAUUAUGCAUGUUGUAUAUAUUUUAAGCACGACUAGUAUUAUGACAAAACAUUAGUGUCGUUCGAUGCAUAGCCAGUCUUAUUUUGUUAGAUAAAACUUGGUUGUUGUUGACGACUUAUUUUAUAGGCUAUAGUAAAAAUAUCGUGCUCUUUGCACGAAUCUAGGGCAGACAAGGUAGAAAAAGACAUGCGAAAAUGUAUCACAUGUUAUUAUAAGAAAACUUUUCUUAAAGUAGAUAGAUAAAUAUGGUGUAUCUGUAUUUUAAGAGCUUUUCAAAUUACAAGUUGACAAUAAAAACCUGUGUUUGUUCUUGGUGUAUGUAUAUUUAUACCAGCCAGGGAUAUCCAUCCCAGUGGUAAUUAAUUUGGUUUUGCGUCACCCCUCUCUGUUGCUUGAAGGAUGAGGGUUUCAUGAUCCAAUAUUGGGUUUGCCUUACUCCAUAAGUCCCAAUUGAGGGUCUAGCCCUUAUGUUUAUUUUAAAUCUUUGAAAUAAAUUAAAAAAAACAUCGUAAUUAUUCGAUAUAUGAAAUACUAGAUGUCAUAGAUAACCCCAAAGUUAUACGUGAAAGUAAUUGAGAAUUUUUAGAUACAUGAAGUUUGGUUGGGUACCGGGCAUCUCGUAUGCAAAACUCAUUUAAAAAUUAAUUUGAAUUUAAUAAAAAAUAAUAUAAAAAUAUGAUAUGAUAUUGAAUAAUCGAAUGAUUGGUACAUAUUCAACCAAACUUUAAGGGUAUGAAUGUGUUCACCGAAAGUAAAGUUGUUUUUAUAGGAAAUAAAGUAGAUAUGUAUAUAAAAGUAAUUUUAUAAAAAAAAAAACUAGGGUAAAAUACUCAAGGGUGUCAAUGUGUUCACCAAAAGUAAAGUCAUCGAGUAUUCCAUAUAUUAUUUACCAUCUUUUAAUCAAAUAUUCAAUAUGAUUCAUAAGGCUUUAUCCUUUGAUCAACCUAUCAAGCCUACGUCUCAUGUGAAGGAAGAAAACAUUUAAAAAAAAAAACAUUCUCAAUUCGGGUUUUUAUAGAUAUCCAUAAAUAACGACAUGUGUCCACGUGAGCUUAGCUCAGUUGGUAGGACAAUGUAUAAAAUAUACAAGGUUCGAGGUUCAAAUCCCGGCCACCACAAAAAAAAAAUAACGACCUUUGUUAAGGCAAUAACAGAAAAUGCCACCACAACGUAUGUGCAGGAUACUCGUUCGUUCUUUAGAGCUUCUUAAUCUUGAUUUAAAAUUGCUUUAGAGAUCUUAAGCGGGGCUUGAUCAAUAUAGGCUUUGAGUGAAAGUGAGUGUCAAUUAUAGUUUAAAAAGUUUCUCUUUUAAAAACUACAUAACAAAUUCUUUUUGAAAUUCUUUUGACAAAAUAUUUUGGUAAAAGGAAAUUUGCUUUGAAAAUAGUUAGAAAUAAGUAAAAAGUAGUAACAAAAUGAUAAGCAGAAACACACGUUAAUUUAUACUAUUUUACUAUGAAAUUGAUAGUUAUGUACAGUGGCUUCUACUUCAAAAGGAUUUCUCCACUAUUCAAACACCGAAUACAAACUUAUAUUUAUUUGUUUUUCAUAUUUUUCUAAAAAAAAAUCUAAAUGGAAUUGAGAUUUUUUUAAAAUAAUUGAAGAACUUUUUAUGAUUGUAUUAAUUGGAUUGGAUAUGUAGUAUGGUAUCCUUAGUAGAUUCUUCCUAUUAAUAUGUGACCAACCCACCUCAUGAUAUUUUUGACACAUUACGUAAUCGGUCCACUUCACAGUACUCUAAUACCAAGUUAGAUAUUAUAAUAUGUUUAUAUUCAUUGUAUAUUUGACUUGUAAAUAUUCAUCGACAAUUAUUUGGUUUCCAAAAUAGGAUUAACAAUGGUUAUAUUAUUCAGAAAUCACAUCAAUAAAAGGCAGGGAAUUGCAUUCUUUCUAGAACAUCCAAAACAAUUCUACCACUAAUGGAGAGAGAAAUAAAGAGAGUAAAAUGAUAGAUUAUUUGACGUGUAAUUAUAAUUGAUGUGUUAAGAUAAGAGAGAUAGAGAAAAAAUGAAGGAUUAAAGAGAUGUAAUAAAGAUAAACAAAUAUAAUUGCUCUAUAAGACAUUUAUUAUUUUGUGAAUAAUGAAUUUAAUCAAUUAAACCUCUAACUGAUGUUAUGUUAUGUCAUGUCACAUGAUUAUCAUACACACCAUCUGCUCACCGUUUGAUUAUAUUUUUUUUACAAUUAAAAUAACUCAACUUAGCUUACUCUUCAAGUUAACAGGGUCCUACAUAUUAUUCCUUAAGCAAGUCAUAUACAUAUAUUCUAUAUAUAGAUGGGUGCAACAUCUCCUACCAAGGCAUCUAAAACUUGAGCCCUUCCAAGCUAACUAGUUAACAAUGGCAUCAUUGAUGCAAUUGCUGAACCUCCUUGAUGAGGAUCAUGUGGAAGAACCACAACCUCGACAACCACGACGACGCAACCGCAAUGGUUCCAGUGCCGUUGCUCGUCGCCAAAAGCCACCUCCCGACACUUUCUCCAACGGGGGCACCCAAAACAUGGAGGGUCUUAUUAACAACACCGGUUAUGUUCAUGGAAAUGGCAACGGAAGCAUCAUCUUUGGUGGCUUUGAUUCCUCUACAAUGAAUUUUGAUUAAUUUGUUGUAUAAGUGGUUCUUCCUAUUAUCACAUAUUGCACUAUAUAAUACGUCUUAUAUACUAUUGUAAGAACUUGAGCAAUAUGACUCUUGUAUGAUAAUUGUAUUAUAUUUUUUGUCUCUAAUGUGAGAACUAAUGUUGCUGAGCAAAGAGUUUGAACCGUGGUCAAAGAACAUAUGAAACCAUCAUUUUAAAUAAUUUUAACCAACUGAACUUUCAUAAUACCCGUAUUAAUCUCUAAAAGAGUAUUAUUAGUCAGCUUAGUCCUCUUCGUAUUAGCAAAAAGAGAAGAAAAAAAAAAGCUUCGUACUCUUUUUCUUUUUUGGGGGAAAAGCUUGGUUCUUUUGAUUUUUUUUUUUGUAAGGUUUCUUGAUUUUUUUUUGGUCUAAGGUCCUCUUGAAUAUUAUCAUUUUAAACAUACAUCAAAUUAUAUCUCAACAUGAAUAUAUAUAUAUAUAUAUAUAUAUAUAUAUAUAUAUAUAUAUAUAGUUACAGUAAUAAUAUUAAGACAAAUCGAACAACAUCUUAGAUACUAAUAUUUAUAUUUAUAUAUCAGUUAAAAAAUAUGGUCAAAGUAAGUUAUAUAAACAGUGCACAUGGUAAGAAUGUAACAUGUAUUUUGGAAUAGAAAUAGUAUUAUUUUUCCUUACAAAAUCAAGUUGGAAUGAAUUUUUAUCUCAACAACUUUAGAAACUAAUUUAACCUCUGUAUAUAACCAUUUUCUAUAAGCAAUUUUUUUUUUUUUUAGAGUACGAUGUAUAUAAAAAUUAAACAAUUUCAAACGCUUUGAAUACAUAGUAAUGAAUUGUUUGUUAUACCGUCCCAAAAAAAAAAAUAAAAUAGAAGCAUAAACUUAUUAGACUUGUUAAAAAACUAAGUCUUAAAGAUUAAUAGACCACAUCUUUUUUUGACAAUAGAAAACUAAUAUCAUACCACUAAUUAAAAACACGCAAUACAUAUCCAGUAAAUAUAGCUCAGUUGAUAGCUAAUAUGAAUCAUUUGUGUAGGGGUAGGGGUUCGAACGCAAUACAUUGUAAAAAAAAAAAAAACACGCAAUUCAAAUGAUAAUUAAUCUCAUCACUAUUUCAUUUUUAGUAUUGAAAAGAGAGAGUCCAGACAUUUUUCACAUACAUAAAUAUGCUAAGAUGUAAAAUUGUGAAUAUUAAAUAUGUGUGUGUAUGGCUGGCCUUAAUUGUGUGACCACACCAGAACAUGUUCGUAUUCGUAAUCUAUGUGGCAUGACAUCCUUGUAACAAAUAAUUUUAGGAUCGUCUCUGAGCUCUUGUUCCAACCUCUUUUGUCUUCUUUUUUCAGUCUUAACUUAGGGUUGCUUUGUCCUUAGGACGACUCAAAAUGCAGGAAUCCUAGUUGUCUUAAAUAAUUUUGCAGGAAUUUAUUCAAUUUAUUUCCCAUAUGCAUUAUCAUCCCUAAGGAAUCCGUAUCAGUAUUUUUUUUUUUCUCAUGCAUAACUUUGCAUUAAUUCCUUGGAUAAAGAGUAUGAAGUACGUAACUUAAAGCAAAUUAUUUACUAUUUAUGACAUGAACUUCAAACCAUUUAUUAUUCUCAUUACAGAAGCACAAUCAUUGUUCUUUUUUCUUUGUUUGUAACUAACAAUUAUUCGUUUAUAUCAGUUGAUAAUUGACAUAUAAGCAACCAGUCUAAUCUAACGAUAAUAUGAUAUACGUAACCCGCCCACUUCAUGGAAUUUUGACUUCGUUAUGCAAGCAUCCCACUUCGCAUGCCAUGUUGACACAAGAAUCUAGAGAUAUAUUGCACCACACAACAGUCCAAAACUCGAUAUAUUUUUCUUCUUAUAUUUAAGUUAAGUUUUAUCCAAGGCAAACCAAAAAUGUUGUUUAUUUAUUGGCAAUUUCUAUGGUACACUCGAUAAUUUUGAGUGUACCGGUACAUCCGUGUAUUUAAAUGAAUAGUUUAAUGAUUUAUUUAUUUAGAAAAAAAUAUUUUCUAUCAUUUAUAAUUAUAAUAAUUUUAUUUUAUUUUUCAAAAGUGUCGGCAAAGCAAAAUUCAAAAUUUUUUAAUUUUUAUUACUCAUAAUAGUGAAUAUUGAUUAUUUUUUUAAUAAAAUGUUAAAAAAUUUAGUAUAAUUCUUUAUAAAAAAUGAAAUGAUGUUUUUUUUUUAUGGGAUAAUAUUUUCUAAAAUAUAAAAGUCGAUAAAUAUCUCUUUAUCACAUAAAAAUUAUCUUUAACUUAUAUAUUUAUGAAAUAGGUGUACUGGUACACCUUAAUUGAAGGAUGUACCGUAGAAACUCCCUUAUUUAUUAGCUAAAGCAACAUUGUCUUGUGUUAGUUACCGCACUUUUGAUUAUAUUCAAUGUGUAUUAUGGUUCAUUUGAUAAAGGAAAUGGGUUAUUAAUUAUAUUAUAUAUAUAUAUAUAUAUAUAUAUAUAUAUAUAAAAGUUUAUAGGUGAUGACAACUCAAACUUAAUCUUGCUCAAAAAAAAAAAAAAAAAACUCAAACUUAAUCUAUUAACUGGGAGAGUCGUAUGACUUGAAGGCUUAAUUAAAAAUAUGUUGGAUUUAUUUGAUUUGAUUUAUUUGAGUUUAUUUAUUGAUAUAAUUUUUGUUAGAGUGUCGAACUUAUGUGAAAACAACUUAAGAAAUUUUUCAUACGUCGUUUUCAACUUAUUUUCAUAAGAUUCAAUAAAACGAACUUAUUUUUAUAGGAAAGUCUUAUAUAUCUAUAUUUUUUGAAGAAAAAAGUCAAAACAGAUAAAUUUCCUAAAACUUGGAUAUUUAAAAAGGAAAGUCUUUUUUUUUUCCUUUUCAAAAUGAGACAAUUAGAUAUAAAACAAAAUUGCUUUGGCAAAUGGUGCUUGGUUUUUUUACUAACAUAUAAAGACUAAAUUGUUACUCUACCAUCCCAUAUAUAUUGAUGUACUAAAUCAUUAUAAACAAUAUAUGGGUGUACUAAAUCACCCUUAUCAUAUAUUGAUGUUUUCUUUUUGACAAAUAUAUUGGUAUAUUUAUCAUUAUAAACAAUAUAGAGCAGAAGAUGUAGAUUUGAGAAACAUUCAUGUCUGCUCUAGUUUUCUAGUGAGAGAAACUUUGCCUUCUCUAUAAACUCUCUUUCUUCUUCAUUCAUCGAAGAAGGGUGGUUUUAGAUCUUUUUUUUUUUAACCUAGAAUCACCCAUCUACAUAUUUUUUUUCCACCUACUUCAAUCAAAUAAGUGGUUUUAACAUAUGAAAAAGGCUCACUUAGAAAUGUUCUUUUUAAAUAUAUGUACAUCUAAACUCAUGUUGGAGGUAGCCAUGGGAAAAGUUUUUCUCAUCAUGUUGUCAUAUCUACAAUUAUUAACCUAAUCUAUCUAUAUCUAAAUAUUGUUGUUGCACUUGCAACUUGUGAUAUUUAUUCCUAGACUUAUCGUUGAAGCACAAAUGUGGAUGAAAAGAACUUGGCGUGAGAUGCACACUUGAUAAUUAGGGAUAUAUUCUCCUAAACUUUUACCCAUCAAAACGAAUCAAACUUGUAAGUUAAUUAAAUUAAAUUAUCAAAUCAUAUAUCCUUAAUUGAACAAGUAGCAAUAGAUUCCAUCCGUUGCAUGCAUAUUUAUAAUGUUGGCUUAGUUGGUAACAUUAAGGCUAACCAAAAACAAUUAUAAGGUAGAUAGAAGUUAACUUCAAACUAAUAUUUCUAGCUAUAUCAAGAUGAGCAACCGUUUGCUUCAAAGUCUACGCAAACUUCUUGAGACUGAGGAAGGAGCUGAUGACUUUUCAACUCCAAUCAUGGCACUGCAAACUCAUUCAACAACCAUGGCAACGGGAAGCAAGAUUUCUCCCGUGCAAAGAUCAACAGUGGAGCAAACUCCGGUGACCGGAAUAGGUACCACACCGCAAACACUACGGUGGUCGCACCAUAAAUAAUAGGGGGAGCACUUUCAAUGGUCAUGGUAAUGGUAGCAUUAUUGAUGGUGACUUUAAUGCCUCCACAACAAACUACAACCAUUGAAUUAUGUAUUGAUACAUAUAUGAUGUGUAUAAUAUGAUCAUAUAUCGGACUAUAUAUGGUGUGCUAUCAAUAAUAUGCAAUAGAGCUACACCUCUAAUUGUCUGUACAUGUUGUAUUGUGUAAUGACAUGAGUGGAAGCUAGUCAAGAAUACUAGAUCCCUCGUAUAAUAUAUGGGUUAUUACUCUUGAUUAUGUUUCUCUAUUGUUUAUGAAUUUUUAAAUAGGUUCAUGAAAUAAUUGAGUUUAUAAUAUUUUAUUAAACUAGUAUUGUAGUUAAGUUUCUCCGUCAAAAACUUAAAUAAAAUUUGUAGUUAAGUCUCUAAGCCCCUAUAAAAACGUUACAUAUGUUUUAAUUGAAUACUUUAACUUUUAAAUAAAUUUGGCUUAUUUUCUUCAAUUAAUUACUAACUUUAUUCUCUAUUUUUUCUGAUAAAAAAAUUGCCAAUUGAUGUUUGUGUCUAAAAUCAUGGAUAUGAAUUCGUGAAAAAUUGUGGCCCGGAUUGGUACAAUUGUGGCACGAUUUUGGUGUUUCAGUUCGACAAAAUCGAGACACGAUUUGGCAAAAUCGGAGCCCGAUUUGACAUAUAAGGUUUG
This 56917-nucleotide long non-coding RNA is filed under the name Medicago truncatula (barrel medic). Its description in RNAcentral is "long non-coding RNA (MTRU_LNC008222)". The record is from RNAcentral. Lineage: Eukaryota; Viridiplantae; Streptophyta; Magnoliopsida; Fabales; Fabaceae.